AAGGAAACAGUCUCUUGCAAUGGCGUCCGUAGUUGCUGCCUCCACCAUUGUGGCCCCUGCUGCCUUUGCUGCAGCCUCCGCCUCGGUUGGCUCUGCUGACUCCACCUCCGUGAAGGCUUUCUCCGGUCUCAAGAGCGCCACUCUCUUCACCUCCAAGGCCCAGACAUUGAGCUCAGUCCAGAACCGCAGCCGUGUGCAGUGCAUGCAGGUGUGGAACCCCAUUGGCAUGACCAAGUUCGAGACCUUCUCAUACUUGCCCCCACUUUCUGACGAUGCCAUCGCCAAGCAGGUGGAGUACAUGAUCCAGCAGAAGCUUAUCCCCUGCCUCGAGUUCGACGUGGUAAGCCUUUUGCUUGAACUCCGCGCGAUUUACUUGAAUCUCGGCAUAAUUUCUUUGUCGAAACCUAGGUUAAAAGCCCUCUGUAAGGACUCGUUGUUUAGAUUUUUGAGUUAUCACUGAGGUGAAGAUGUGUGAGCAAUGUCUCUCUGUCGGGUGCGUUUUUUUUCUACAGUUUGCAAUUUGAAGAAAAUAAAAACGCAACCCUCUUAGCAUUUGCUAGAAGUUCUGAUUUAAGCUACCAUCUCCUGACGAGUGGUGUGGUGUAAGAGCAGAACGCCAACGGAGUAUCUCGUACCAACAACUCCAGCCCAGGCUACUACGAUGGUCGUUACUGGACCAUGUGGAAGCUGCCCAUGUUCGGAUGCCAAGACUCCGCUCAAGUCUUGAGGGAGAUUGAGGAGUGCAAGAAGACCUUCCCCGGCUGCUUCGUCCGCGUGUUGGGUUUUGACAACGUGAAGCAGGUGCAAAUCUGCGGGUUCCUGGUUGCUCGGCCUAACUAGAUUCUUCAAGCCUCGACUUGUCGAAAUCGAUAUUCAUGUAUCAGCGAUGUAUCCACUUUGUAUGCUAGUUACAUUACAGUUACAGUGAAUAAACAUGAAAUUUAAACAAACACGUUCUCGCUUUCUUCCCAAAUUCCUCGAUCUGUGUUGUCACUAGUAGGGGUUCUUAAUUUCGGUAAGACACUAGUGCAAUUUCAGUGUCGACAUGGCCGUAAUUCGUCUCAGAAACCUUCCAUUCAUAGUUGCUAUGCACGUAAAGGUUGAGUGCGUCUUGCAAUUCCAGGUCGAGCUUGCUAGUUCUCGAUUCCUCCUCCCGAAGUAUCGUGUCAUGAACCAAAACCUGCUCGAGUUACUGUAGGAUAAGCUUUUGCAAUGCAUGAAUUUAGAUAUUUCCCCUCAUCGGUCCAUACUGAGGCAGCUGUACAAUGGAUUUUGGAAAGCAAUGAUAACAAGCCGAACAUCGUUUGCUAUGAGAUUAUUAUUGUACCAGUGCCAAUGUCGGCGUGCGAGUCAUUAAAGCAAUCAAUUAUAACUGUGCCGAUAUUUCCUUUUCUCUGACUAGAAACAUGCUAUUCUGAAGAAUGAAAAGUACCUCUAAGGUAGGAUGUUGAAUCGAGUUGUAAGCAUUAAUAAUAUUUGGUUUUUGAGAACGAUUUGCUUAAAUUCCUAAAUUUCAAAAAAAAGAGUAGAUUGACACAUUGGUGUAAAUAUAUUUGAUUGGAGAAUAUGAAAGUACUAUACAAUUAUUAAUAUUUGAUUGUGAGUUAGUAGUAGAAUAGAGAUUAUUAUUAUUAUUGGUGUUAUAUAAACACAAACAUACUGCACACAGAUUCUCGAAAACUAUUCAGAAAACGGUGGAUAAAAAAAUAAAACUAUUCAUCUGUGUAUAUAAAUGCAUGUGUAUAAAUAUACACAAUUUCUAGCAUGUUUUAAUAAAAUUUCGUGAGCCAUGCACUUCUAUGUCUAUAUAUAUAUAUAUCUAUAUUAGCACUAAGUGUAGUAUUUUUUAUCAAAUGUUAUCAUUGCCUUGUAACCCUGCAAGAAGUAUUAAUGACAGUAAUAUUAAUAAUAAUCUGCUUUUUGAUUUUCAUAGAUAAACACAUUUAAGAAUACCAAAUAACACCUAUUAUUAAUUGAAUGACUUAUUAUUGUAUCAUAUAAAUAAUCAGAAAGAAUUCAUAAGGUUAAAUGCCUUUAUUUAAAUAAAUGGUGUACAUUGUUAUGAUUUUUUUAGUUUAAGUUUUCAUUCUUAAGAUAUUAAUUUGUUGGGAAAAUCCCUUUUAAGGCUUGAAUAUAUAUAGAAUGACAAGUGAGAUUGCUCAAUUGUAAGUGACACUUGUAGCAUCUCAAUAAAGGAGACAAUAAAACAUAAUCUGUAUCAUAACAAAUCUAUAAAACAUAAAAUUACCAUGUGUUGGAGAUAUUGGGAAUAACUAUGAAUUAUUAAAAGAAACGGUUAUUAUUAAGAAAAUAAGAGAGCAUGAAGCUUAUUGUCUCUUUUUCUUUUUUCUUUUUUCUUUUUCUUUUGUAAUUUGGACUAGUUUUUCUUAAUAAUUUGAUAGCAAUGUUGUAAGAGAUAGGUAAUAAACUAAUUACUUAAAUUAUAACUGAACUUAUAAAUAGGGUCUAUUAAAACUAUUAUCUUAAACUUAUUAUUCAUUCAUUCAUUAAUGUCUUGUACAACAUAAUUUUUAGGGUUGGUUUAAAAAAAAAAAAAUGGCAUUGCUUCAACAUUUCGAUGCAUGGUGGUUUGUUUUGUCACAGUAAAAUUUUGAAUGUAGCAAUACAAUUUACAGAAAAUUCAUCUAAUUCUACUUCAUAUCACUCUUGUAUUAACAACAACGUUUGUACUUUUAAUUGGAAGUCAAAUAUUUUGUAUAAAAUGCAAAAAUAUUCUUCCAAUUUUUUGAAGAAUUGUUUCAAUUUGUAACUUUUUAAAAAGUCAUUUUUUGUUCAAUUAUUUUUUAAGAGACCAAUUUAAAUAGAAUAGGAUAUUUAUGUGUUGCUAUUAAAAUUCUGAUUUCACAUUGGGUCUCAUUUAUCAGAAAUGAGAAAAGAUUUACGUGCAUAUAUAUAUAUAUAUAUAUAUAUAUGCACAAACCCAAACAUCAACAUACUUUUUAGAAAAUAAACUGUGCAUGAUUUUUAAAUGUUAAAUCAAGUUUCUGGCUAAAACUUACGACUUCAUUUUUCUCUUUUACUUUCUAUUAUUCAUCCAUGUUCAAACUCAUUCCCUCAUUUUUCAUGCUAAUAGUUCAUCAUUAUUAUUCAAUUCACCUCAAUAGUAUUUUCUCAUUUAAAAUUAUGUAAAGUGCUUUAUCCUAUUUUCUUAAACAGACCUUCUAUCAAGUUGCACACAAGCUGUGAAGUUAAUGCCUAUAAAUGAUGUUGUAAGAGCGGAAUUACAUGAAACACUCGACGCUAAAUAGAGUUAAUUUCAUCGAAGAUUGAUUUCCAGCUUUAUUUAUUUCCUUAUAUUAGCAAAUAUUGAAGGCACCAAAGCAGGUUUGAGGAAGUGACGGAUGAAUGACGUCGUUAGUAGGGAUGAACUGCAUGAAUGAAUAGAAGAGUAAUGCCCCGUUCAUGGGUUUUGUAAACCCCUAACUCUGCUUCGAGGGCAUUUGAUUUUGCUCCGAGGCUGCUCCAUCGAGCUCCCCUCAUUGUUGUCUCCGACUCCAGCUAUGGCUCCUCCUUUGAAGGUUGCCAACCCGCAGGCGACGAAGGCAUCGAAGGCUGCGAAAGCGCUCAAGACUACCACCAAGCCGGUGAAGAAGCUAUGGAGGAAGGUGCGCACCUCUGUUACGUUCCAUCGUCCCAAGACCCUCAAGCGCGCCAGAGCGCCCAAGUACCCUCGCCUUAGCGCACCCAACCGUAACAAGCUCGACCACUACGAGGUGCUCAAGUACCCACUCACCACGGAGUCCGCGAUGAAGAAGAUUGAGGACAACAACACUUUGGUUUUCAUCGUGGAUGUGCGCGCCGACAAGAAGAAGAUCAAAGAGGCCGUCAAGAAGAUGUACGACAUUCAGACCAAGAAGGUCAAUACUUUGAUCAGGUGAUUAUGUUUUCCCAUGCUUUAUUUCUCGGGGCAACACUCUAGGGUUUGGGAAACUGGGUUUUUGCAAUUGCGUCGUGUUGUGUAGCUCCAGAUUUUCUUGGCUUGUGACGAUUUGUGACUUUGAGGCCCAUUGUGAAGCUAUGUUGUUUUGUUUACACUGGAAGUAUUACAAUCAUGAGCAUUCUUGUUGUUUUUAUCUCUACAAUGCGGCUCUCUGUUUGAGCUGAUUUUUCUUCUCUGUGAGACGAUUGAGGUUCUUCCUUUGUGGAAUCACUUGCUGCAUGUUCUUUAUACAACUCUCUGCACAUUUCGGUAAUAUCAAGUCUAAAUCCCUUGUUUUUUAUUCUUACUGUUGUGAUUUCAGCGUGCCAUUAGCAUUGUAUGUUUAGGUCAUAAUUUGUUCGUCCUUUUUGUUUUUUGUUUUCUUUGUCUUUGUUUUUGUUUUUUGAGAAAGGUAACUUUCCUUCAAUUACGGGAGUCGAACUUAAAAGAGCAAUCUUGAUCCUAAAAUGAUUGUGCCGAUCAUGCUAUAUUAGGUGUUUUAUUUCAGAUUUGAUAGUAGUAAAUGAGUAGCAAUAUGUCUUAAGCAUAGUUUCUCGAUGUAGAAGUUAGCAUUUCUCCUAAAAUGCAUAAAUAUGACUACAUGAUCUAGCAGUGUAUGUCAGAAAUUAGGUUUUAGGUCUAGUACCAACAUGAUCAACAUGGAUGUUCAUUUCGUAAUUUUUUUUGGGAUUUCGUAUUGAUUUGAUAUCACCUGUUCCCAUUCCUCUCUAGGAUGUGAAAUUUCUAAUGUGGUCAAAUUUAUCUAUUUUCUCAGGCCUGAUGGAGCCAAGAAGGCUUACGUGAGACUGACAGCAGAUUAUGAUGCGCUUGAUGUGGCCAACAAGAUCGGUAUCAUAUAAAUUUUCUGUUCAAUUUUGUAAUCAUCUUAAUCUAAAGGCUUCGUUCCAUUUCCGGCUUAGUGACGUCUUUUCUUCCCCUCACUUUCUUUUUUGAUAAGCUCAGUUAUUGGUUUCCGAAAGAUUUGAAACCUGUAUUCCUGCAAGGUUUGCAAAUGAAAAAUGCGAGUUACUCAGAGUCCCCUGUUUGAAUGCUUUUAACACUGAAGAAAGUACAUCGAGGCUUUCUAAUGUGAAAUCUAUUUAUUUCGGAGAUCUAGUCAAUCUAGUUUACAGAUUGGUGCAUUCAUCUUACAACUACGUCAAGUAGCAGAGACACCCAGUAGCUGUGAAAUUGUUCACGUAGUCUUAAGCAGGAUCACUGGAAACGUACAUACAGCUAUGCUUCUUAUGUAGUAUUCAAACUGUGAUGAAGUCCCAGUGUAGCCGAAGGCAAUGAAGGAAUUAGUCUGAGUGAGGAUACUUGAACCCAGAACCAAAUAACACAUCGUUCACAGAUCAUUUACUAGUUUAUGCCUGAGUUAGGAUAAAAAAGUCUUUGGAUAAGGUGUAUAUAAACCACAAAAUGUGUUAGAAUACUAGAAAAAUUGUACAGUUUGUUACUCGAAACUCCUGUAUUACACAAUCAUUAAUUCUAAAAUUCAAUGUACUCAAAGGAUGUUUAUGAUUAGCCAUCUUAGCAUUGUAGAUCUAAAAACCAUGAGUCUAUGUGUGGGAAAAACAAUUGUUAAAUCAGUAUCCCAUUCUGUGAAAGAUGUGCACCUGUGAUGUCUUCAAGCUUCUUUGAACUUAAAUUGUUUCUGUGGUGCUCGAGUAGAAAUUAGUCAAUAAAGCUGUUAAACUUAUAUAGAUACUUUCUGUCAGGUUUUUGAGAAUGUGUAACCAAGUUCAUUGGUCUAUUAGUCACAUAUAAGAAUAAAAGUAGCUUUAAGUCAUUUUGAUAGAAUUACUUCUAAAUUUACAUGUUUGAAUAAAGGUAUUUUUUGAGUUUACGUUCAAAAGGAUCUGUCUAUUAAUAGAUUGUACCUCUAUUUAUUGCAUAUCCAACUACAUCCAUUGAGUAUUGAACUACAAGUACAUCAUGUAAAGAUAUGUUAAUUUUUUAAAUUCUUUAUAGAUAGCAAAUAAUCAUAUAUUAAUUUUUAGAACUCUUGGUAAAUUGCAAAUAAUAGAGAUCAUGGUGUACACAAAAGAUAUGAAUCUCUCAUAUAGACAAGAUUCUCAACUCAAACUAAAAAUGCCUUGGCUAUUGAUUAUGAUAUAUAUUAAACUAAUUCAAGCUUAAGUAUUUCAACUUUGUCUCAUUAAUAUCAUCUCUCUAUGAAGGACAAGAAUUCAAAGAAGAUACAUAAACAAGUGAAAUAUACAUCAAAGAGAGAUGACAAUAUAGAAACAAAAAAAUAUGUAUAUUCAAGAAGAAAUUAGAAUGGCUAUUGCCAAAGACUAGAAAUUUAAAGACUAGAAAUUUAAAGACUUUUGAAACUAGACUAGAAGCAAGAGUGAAGAAGGCUUCUCUCUCUCUCUCUCUCUCUCUCUCUCUCUUUAUAUAUAUAUAUAUAUAUAUAUAUAUAUAGGAACUAUAUGAUGACACUUUAUAAGACCUUUGACACAUGUCCAAUUCACAUGCUACGUCUCUAACUUGCAAGAGAAAUAUUAUAUAUUUGUGCUACAUGGUUAACUUAUAUUAUAAGUUACCAAUAUAUGCAACAUGUGGCAAAUUGGUGGCAAAGUUUUUAACCUAUCAGUCACCUAAAGAUACAUAUAAAGGUGAAAUUGCAUCUAUAAAGCUUCUCUACAAGAUAUUAUCAAGUUUAUCUAUUUUUACAUACUUCAAUCUAUUCAUGUUAUUUAGGUAAUUAUUGAAAUAAACAUGUAUGUUUAUAAUAUUAUCCCUCCAUUCUAAGGACAAGUUCCAUGAGGAGUGAUAAUCAUAUGUUGAGGAAGUCCAAGAUGUCACAAAUUAUAUUUACUAUAUACUUUGAUCCUUGUUGCUUUUCAAAGUAGUUAAUAAGUCCUCUCAAUCAUCAAUAGUAUUCCAUUACAAGGCAAAAAAAUUACCUUAAUAUUUAAUUAUUGUUGAGGUCUUUGUAACUUCUUUCAAACAAAAUAUUUGUUAUACCAUUAAGAAUCAUUCCUAUCUCCAAUAAAAUCACCAAACAUUGGAAGUUUCUUCCAAGAUUGUGAUAUCAAACGCAUUAUAUUUUUCUAUCUAUUCAAGAAAGAUCAUGUCAUUCUUAAAGAUCUUUAUUUCUAUUAUAUUAACUUGAAGGUGUAUAUAUAACCAGAUAUGGUUCAAAUACAAUCUACUAUAGAUGUAUAUUAAUGGAAUACAUAAUAGAUAUUAGAUAUGUAGUGGAUUUUGUAUAGAUAGGGAUACAAUAGAAUUGAAUAUAGUGCUGAACAUGGUACUAAUAUCAUAAGAGUAUGGUAUAAAAACUAUAUAAUAUGAUAGGAUUUAUCAUAGAAUACAUGAUAGAGAAUACAAUAGAUUUUGGGUCUAAUAUACACUAGAUUAUAUGGCCAUGGAUAUGUACCAAGUAUUGUAGGUAUUGUAUCACAAUAUUAUAUUACAUGUAUAGACGGCCAAAGAUUAGGUAUAACAUCUAAGCAAAUGAGGCUGAAAUAAGGACCUCAUAUUAGUUGAUAAGGGUUGUUAAUAAGGGUCCGAACUUCUCUAGAUCAAUUUUUAUUUUUAUUUUUAUUUUUUUUGUUCUGAUUUUAUUUUUUGUAUUGAAUUUGGGCUUUGAGUCUUACAAUCUUCCUUGAUUUUCUUUUCUUUUCAUAAGGUCACCUUAUUGUAGAUGAGCCUUCUUGUAGAUGAGCCUUGUUUUGUUGAGAUGCCACAGUGUAAUACACUGUAUUUUUUGUGAGCAUUGAGGUGAGCUUCAAAUCAACAAAAUUGUUAGUAUGGCACUAAGUGGAGAAUGUUUUCAUUGAUCUUUGAAUAAUGGAUAUAUCAAGGAUGCUAUUACUUAUUUUAAUUUUUUUAAUUUUUUAUUAUUAUUAUUAUUUUUCCUUAUAUAUGAUUACUAGUUCAAAAGUGUAUAAAGGCUAUAUCAGGUGGUUGUAUCUUUCUAUCCUUGAAAUUUUGGCGAUAAUAUUGGAAGCUCAUGUUAGAAGGAAUUGCCAUUGAAAGAAGAGUACAAGUUGUCAAGUAUAAUGUUGAUUUUGUUGUAUAAGUCAAAGAUAAGUUGAGGCAAUGCAAAUUAUAGAGCUUUAGAGCUGCAUGGUGCUGCUAUCUUGAUAGAUCAAUUGGUGUCUAAAUACUUCACAUUUUCAGCUUGCAAAGAGUAUUUUGUUUUUUAUUUGUUUGUUUUAUUUUAUUUUAUUUUUCUUUUUGGAACAACAAUCAUAUUGUGAACUUAAUAGUCCAGAAUCGAUUAAUAAUACUAUCAAUCAUUCUUUUGGCAAAAUUCACUAUCAAUUGCUUUGUGCGCAAGGAUCUAAGAUUAUAGAGUGUGGAUCUUGCAUGAAGGACAAUGCAAUUGUGUAACUUUCAAGCUGAAAAAAACCUUUGGAUUACAGCUUGAUUCUUCCUGCAUUUGCUUUUUAUAUAGAGAAAAUGAUUUAAUUUAGUUGAUUGUUUUGGCACUACUCUCAUAGAAUAAGCAUGAAGUCAUACAUCAUAGUAAUAAUGUGAUGGUGGAAGUUAAAGUUCAAGGAUGUAGAUUCUUAUACAAAGGUCUAUUGGAAUUCAUUUGUAGUUAGCAUCAUGAAGCUUUCUCCAAAAUUAGGCUUUGUCAUAUGUCUAGUACAUUAUAAUUGUUAACCUUCUAUUUCUAUGAGAUAUUACAUGAUCUGUGCCAUUACAAACUUAACCAAGCAAGUAGAGAUAUUUUUCAUGAAGAAGAGGAUUAAAUGAUGGAACCACUUCAAAAUCCCUUUUAAUAAUAUUAGCUAUUAUAGCCAUUACAUUUGCUACUUUGCUACUCUUCCACCUUCUCUAAUUACCUUUCAUAUUUUCAGAUUAAAGGCAUGAAUCUCGAAGAACCAAAAUUUUAAUACAUUCUUGUGUAAUUCAAAAAGAAUAUGUAUGCACUCCAAAAUAAUAUAGUAUUGAAACUAGAAUGACUAUUGCUAAAGACAAAAAUAUUAGAAAGUCUUGAAAUAAGAUUAAAGACUAGAAAGGCAUUGAGAAGAGUGAAGAAGUCUUCACUAUUGCAUCCAUAUAUACUAUCUAACUAGAAGCUAUAUGGUGAUGUUCUAUAGGAUGUCUAAUAUGUAUACAAUUUAUAAAACUCAUGUCUUAACUUGUAAGACAAGUUUCAUAUAUGUGCACUAUAUCUUUAGAUUAUAGUACAAGCUACCAACUUGUGCGAUAUAUGAUUAACUUGUUGAUCAAGUAUCUAAUCUAUCAAUUAUCUAUGGACAUGUAUAGAGACAAAAAUAUAUUUAUGAAGCUUUUAGAAAGCUUAUCUAUAAGAUAUUAUGAAAUUAAUCUAUUUUUAUCUACUUCUAUCUAUUCAUAUUAUUUAAAUUAAUAUUAGAAUAAAUAAAUAUGUCCAUGAUAGUAUUCUUCAUUGUAAAAAUGAAUUCUAUGAAGAAUUGUGUCAUGAUGUAUUAUGGCUAAUAGGUGAAAGAAUAAAAUAAAUAUUAUAUUAUAAAAUAUAUUAAUUCAAAAUAUUAUAGCAAAUUAUCUUAGAAAUAUAGAUAAUAAUCAAAAGAUAGUAAAACUAAAAGUGCAAAUUCUACCUUUUUAUAAAGUAGGCUUCUAUUUAUUUUAUAGGGCCAUAAAUAAGGCAAAAUAAGAUAGAUUAGAAAAUUAAAGAAAAUAAGUAUUUGCACAUGGGAGUUAGGAGUCGAUUUUAGCAAAAAUUACCUCACAAAAAAAAGAAUUGAUAUCUAAAAAAGACCAAUUGCCAAUCAAGAUCAAAAUCAGAUCCCAAAGGACAAAACCUCACAUUUAUAAUGACUCAAGGAGUUCUUUUAUAAAUCAAAUAGUAGAAUUUGAAAGAAGACUUUAUAAAUUUUUUUUGAGCAUGAAAUUUAAGAAAUUUGAUUUUGUAAUGACUUUGUAAGAUCUUUGCAAAAUCAAGGUUGUUUUGGUGAAUCUAGUUUGUAAAAUAAAAACACGAGGUUUAUAUUUGAAAGAAUUUUAUAAGUUUAGUAGUAAAUUUAUAAAUAAUUUUUUUUGUAUUUAUGUUUGUAAUUAUUUUUAUCACGUAUUAUAAAUUUGAGUAUGAUCAAAUGAUAGGAUAUAAGUUAUUGAAGUACCAAUGGAUUGAAGUCUUAAAAAUGAGGUUUUGAAGGUUAAUGAGGGUUUUUAAGAUCUUUAAGAAUUUUUUAACUAAAUUGAAGUGAAAUUUGUGAAUAUAGAUAGUAGACUUGAUUUUCAACAUAUAUGUGAAUUUUGAAAGGUAUUUAAUAGUAGAAUUAAGAGAUUUUAGCUUAGAAAGAUUGGCAUCAAGAUUGGAGAAGGAGGCUAGCCAAUACCUAAGUAGAUUUUAGGAUUUAUCUUCUAUUUAGUAAGUUUGAUCUUCUUAAAAUCAUUUGUGCUUGUUGCUAGCUUAAUUUUUGAGAGAUGUAAGAUAUUCGAGUCAUAAUCAAUAAUUUGAUUAUUAGUUACAAAGAUUUUAGUUUACUAUAGGAUUUAUUAAGAAUUUGUUUAAGAUUUAGGAUUGAUUUAGUAUCUAAGAUUUUAUUAGGAUUUUUUAAGGAUUUUUUAAAGAUUUAUCUAGGAUUUAAAUAGAUUUUUUUUAGAGUUUAUUUAGGAUUUGAUUAGAGUAUGUUUAAAGUUUUUCUAGGAUUUGUUUAGAAUUUGAUUAAGAUUUGAUUAGGAUUUAUUUAAGAUUUGGAUAGGAUUUAAUUAGAAUUUAUUUAUAAUUUUUUUAGAAUUUGUUUAAGAUUUGAUUAGGAUUUGAUUAGGUUUUAUUUUAGAAUUUGUUUGUGAUUUGUUUAAAAUUUUUUUAAGAUUUGAUUAGGAUUUUUCUAGAAUUUAUCUAAGAUUCGAUUAAGAUUUUUCUAGGAUUUGAUUAGAUUUUGUUUUAGAAUUUUUCUAGGAUUUGAUUAAGAUUUGAUUAAGAUUUGAUUAAGAUUUUUUAGGAUUUUAUUAAGAUUUAUUUAGAAUUUAAUUAGGAUUUUUCUAGGAUUCAUUUAAAAUUUGUUUAGGAUAUGAUUAAGAUUUAUUUAGAAUUUGAUUAAUAUUUGUUUAGGAUUUGAUUUGGAUCUAUUUAGGAUUAAAUUAGGAUUUAUGAAGAUUUUAUUAGAAUUUGUUUAGAAUUUGUAUAAGAUUUGAUUAUGAUUCAAUUAGGAUUUAUUUAGGAUUUUUAUUUUUUUUAUUUUAUAAUUUAUUUAAAAAUUUAAUUAGACUUGAUGAAUGUUUGAUUAUGUUUGUUAAGCUUUAAUUGUAAUUUAUAAAUGAUUCUAUUAGAGUUAUUAGAACUUAUUGUUGCAAUUUACUUUCAUCUUUUAUAGUCAAGUGCCUGAUAUAUUUUCAAGUAAGUCUUUAUAUAAUACAAUAGUGAUGAUUACAUAUUGAUGAAGUUUAAAAUGUAGCAAAUUGUAUCUAUUUCAUAUUCUAAUUUUUGUUUCCUUCAAACAUAGUUAAUCGGUCUUUUCAACCAUUAAUAAUAUCUCAUUUUAAGAUGAGAAGGUUAUCUUGUUAUUUUAUCAUUUUUGAGACCUUUAUAACUUCCUUCAAAUAAAAUAUUUGUAAUACCAUCAAAAGUUGUAACACCAUCAAAUACCUUCAAUAGAAUCACCAAACAUUGAAAGUCUCUUUCAAAAUCAUGAUAUCAAACAUGUUGUAUUUUGCCAUCUAUUUGAAGAAGAAUAUUUUGUUCUUAAAGGCUUUCAUUUCAAUUACUUUGUCUUGAAGGUUGUAAUAAUUGUAAUGUCUCAUUUGAUAAGUUAGCAAAUAAUAGGUCUUGAAUUGAAUCUCUUAGAUUUGGUUCUCUAUUUUCUUAGUAUCAAAAAUACAAAAAAAAUACAAAAAAAAUACAAAAAAUAAUAAAAGGUUAUAUGCAAUUUUUUUUUGAAUUAUAAUUCUUUUAUAAAAAAGACUUAUUAUCCUUCAUUUUGAUUUUGAUGAAUGUCAUCAAUAAAAAAUAUAACAACAUUUUUUAUUAUAUUUGUAAGAUUUUUUUAUUGGCUUGUAUAUGCAUUCAUAAAUAUUAUAUUUUCAUCAAUUAAUAUAAUAUUCUAAUCUAUUUUUUGUACCAUCUUGAGUCUAAGACUUCUUUGAUCUUAUACUUUUGAUUAUUAUCUACUUCUUUAAGAAGAGAUAGUCUUUUCAAAAGAAUUUUUUAAAAUAUUGAUAUAAAUUGUGUCUUCUUAUUCCAUAUAAUAUUUCUUGAUAAUCCAUAAUAGCAAUAAAUGUUGUCAAGGAAAAGCUUAGCUGUUUCUUCACCUAUAAUAAAUUUUGUAUAUAAUUCAAAAUGUAUCAUCUUAGUGAAUUGAUCUACUAUCACGAAUAUAAAAUCAUAAGAACUUGAAACUGAAAGAUCUAUAAUAAAGUCCAUAGAAAUAAAAUACCAUAGUUAUUUUCGAAUAAAUAAUAGUUAAGGAAGUCCAUAAGAUCAAUGAUAAGGAAUUUUUGAUCUUGAAAAAAUAUCAUAUGAUUGUAUAAAGUCUUUAAUUACCUUUUAUAUUUGACGCCACUAAAAGUCUUUAAAUACUAGUUUCAAAAUUUUGUUAUAUCCAAAAUGUUUGACUGUUGGAAAGUCAUGAUGAGUUUAAAGAACAUAUAAUUAUGCUUUGCUUUUUGAAAUAUAUAGUUGUCUUUCAAAAUAGAAUAGAUUAUUUUUAAAUUUAAACUUAGAAGUACUUUGAGACUUAAAAGAAUUAUUUUUAAUAUCAUGAUUAAAAAGAUCAAAGAAUAUAUUAAAUUAGAUUUACUUAAAAAAGAUUAAAUUAAUAAUUAAUAUUGAUUUCAUUGCUCAAAGAUAAAAAUACUCUGGUUCCAAAAAAAUUAAUCUUUGUUGAUCAAAGGAUGCAUUUUUUUCUUUUGAUACAAGAUAAGAACAUCUAAAAAAAGGUAUUUGAAAAAUAUUAUUAUUUUUUGGAUUAAUAAGUGAUUUUGAAAAUAAAUCUUGAUAAAAAUAUGCUUCAAAUGACUUGAAAAUAAAUCAAAACAAGUGCUAAUAUGAAAUACUUGAGGUUCUUGUGAUUUGUAUACAUGGUGAUUAGACUAGAAGCACCUUCUAAGUCAAGAUACUAUUCUUGAAAUGAAUCCAUGAUUACAAAAAGUUCUAUUUCAUAGAUCUUAUAAUUAACUUUGAUUAUUGAAAUUUUUUUGGAAUAGAAAGCUACCAAGUGGAGCUUGUCAUUUGCUCCUAUUUGUAACAACAUUGCAUCCAUAGUAAAGUUUGAUGCAUUUAUUUCCAUAAAAAAUGCCUUAAAAAAGUCAAUACAAUACAAGAUUGAUACAAAAAUAUAUGAUGUCUUCAAGACUUUAAAAGAUAUUUCAGCUUCUUUAUUCUACUUAAGUUUGUCUUAACAUGUCUGAUAUAUAAAAAGAGCUAUAACUUGAAAAAAUUUCUUAAUAAAGAUCUUGUAAUAAGUGAUAAAUCUCAAUAAGUAUUAUAUAUCAUUGAUUGUUUUUUGGAUCUUCCAAUCGAUGAUAGUUUAGACUUUAUUUAGGAUCCAUCAUAAGGCUAUCAUUUAAAAUGAUGUAUUUUAAGAAGUCAACUGAAGUAGUGUGAAAUACAUACUUUUCUAUUUUAGUAUAUAAUCUUAUAUCUCUUAGUUUUUGUAAUAUAUAACAAAUAAUUUUUUUUGGUCUUUAGUAUUUUUAAAAUAGAUUAGGAUAUUAUAUAGAUUACAGAUGACAAAGUCAUUAAAAACCUCAUAAACAAUAUCAUUCAUUAGAUGUUAAAAAAUAUUUGGUGCAUUUGUGAAUAUAAAAGGCAUGAUUUUAUAAUUAAAAUUUUCAUAUCUAAUUUAAAAUAUAUUUUUUAAUUCAUUUUUUUCUUUAAUAUAUAUAUAAAGUUAUAUGUUCCUUAUAGAUCUAUUUUGAUAUAGAUCCUUACUUGAUUGAUUUCAUAAAUAUAUCUUAAAAUCAAAGAUAGAAGAUACUUAUUUUUUAUGGAAAUCUUGUUAAGUCUUUGAUAUUUUACAUACAUAUGCAAAGAUUCAUCUUUUUUCUUUGUAAAUAAGAUAGGAAUAUAUGCCAAAGAUUUAAAAUGAAAAAUGAAGUUCUGAGCCAAAUUUUUAUCAAUAUACUCCUUAAGUAUAGCUAAUUUGUUUCUAAUAAACUAUAUAUUGGUCCAAAUGGUCAUUGAACUCCUUCUUAAAGAUUAAUAAAAUAAAAAUAAAAAUAAUAUUUAAAAAAAUAUCUAUAUAUAUUUUUAAAAAUGUCUUGAUAAUCUUGAUAUUGAAUUUAAAUACCACUUGAAAUUUAUUUUCUAUCAAAAAUAGAUAUGUAUAUAUAACAAAAAUUGAUUGUUCUUUUGGAAUUUACAAAAAAGCUCCUAUACCUACCAAUAAGAAUUUGGACAUAUUAAGCUUAUGGAUUUCUAUUUGAUUAGCAAAAACUUCGUUUAAACUAUAGAAAAAAUCAAGGUUACAAGAAAUUUAAUCUGUUUGUAGAUUAUAUAUUUUUUAUCCAUAAUAAUCUUGAAAUAAUUGAAUUAAAAAGAAAUUUAAUCAAAUUAAAUAUUACUAAGAUAUUAUGAUCUUUAAUUUCUAUAUUUUAAAAAAUAAUUUCAUAAAUGAUAUUACCAAAAUACAAUAAAUGACCAUCAAUUAUUUCUAUAUGCAUAGGUUUGGUUUUUUUAAUCAAAGAUAUUUCUUAUUUUUUAACAAAGCCUUCAUCUAUUAAAUAUGUUGAAGUUCUUAAAUCUAAAAAGGCUUAGAUUCUCAAUACAUUCUUUUGGUCAUUUUUAAGGUAUAUAUAUAUAUAUAUAUAUAUAUAUAUAUAUUUAAUUACCUUGGUUUUAAUUCCAAGUCAAUUGUUUAUUUCAAUUGAGAUAUAAUUUCCUAUCGAGCCACAAUCUAUAAGCGCUUGACAUGGCUAUUAUCUUAGUUGUUUCAUUAGAUACAUUAGUUAAUCCUUUUUAUUGUUGUUGAAGGCUAUGUCAUUUGUCUUUGAAAGACAAUAGUUAUUCCUAGUAGUGGCCCUUGGUGCCUUUACUAGGGAGCUCCAUUUUCUUACUCUAUCUUAUUGUCAACUUGGUCAGUCUGAAGAUUAUAAACUUGCCCUCAUUUAUUGGUGCUUGAAUUUCAAUAUUUUGGACAAUCUACAAUUUGAUGGCGUUGUUCCUAAGAAUAGAAACAUAAUCCUUUAUGUACCAAUAUUUGUGAUUUUUGUAGUGUUAAUGAUCCUUGUAGACAUCAAUCUCUAUUGCUAUUGGUUGAUGUGCCAUACUAUUAGAUAGCGGCAUAGGACUUUGUGCUAUAGGUUGUGCUUUAUAAUUUUUGAUAUCUAUAGCAUCAACUCUAUAUGCAAUCCUAAUUGCCUCUUUAAAUGUUUGUAGAACUCUUAGUUCCACCUCUUGCUAGUCCCUAGAUUUCAACCUUUGUAGAAACCAAUCCAUUAUCUCUGCCUUUGAAACAUUGCUAAUUUAAAGAUAUAAAAACUUAAAUCAAAAGACAUAAUCUUGGACCAAUCUAGAUUGUGUAAACUUUGUUAAUUGAUUGCAUGCUAUCUUUUUUACAUUGAUCGGUAAAAAUAGGACUCUUAAACUUGGUCUCAAAUUCCUCCCAAUCACAAAAUCCACCUUGAGCUCUAUAGCUUUGAAUUCAAUGUUGCCACUAAAUUUCUGACACAUCUCUCAAAUAGUUAAAUACAUACAUAAUUCUUUUGGUGGUAUUUUUCCUACAUAGUCAGAAGUAUUGUUGCAUGUUGAAGCAUCAUUGGCAUAUAUCUUCUUGCUUGAAAGUCCUAGUAUAUGUAGUAGACUUAUUCAAUUCAACCUAACAAAUGUCAACUCUUUUAUCUUACACGCUUCUAUUUGUCCUUAUAUAGUAGCUAUCUAGUCUACGAGGUGUUGUAUCUAAGCUUCUAUUUGGGAUUAUUCCACCAUAUCUACCAUACUAUAAUUUCUUCACUGGACUCUACUAUUGUAAUGCCUUCUUUCUUUCUAGCUAACUUCUUAAGAGUAGCUUGUGGUAGCCUCAAUACGGUACCUAGUAUCACUACAAUAACUGACCUUGAACUAGAUAGUAGCUAUCAACAUACUACCAAAGAACAGUCUAACACUCGCUCUGAUACCAAUAAAAUAUGAUUGGAUUAUUUCAAAAAUCUAAAAUUCUUCUUAUCUAGAAUAACUUAAAUUCUACUACAAUAUAAUAGAGAGCAAAUUAUAACAAAAGAAAAUAGAAUAAAAUUAAAUAGAAAGAUGCAAAAACAAACUUUACUUAGUAAAAAGGUCUGAAGCCAUACUUAAUCAAAUGCCUAAAUGGCCAUUAUCAAUUCUAUUUAUACUUUGCUCAAUAAACUUGAGACUUUUUAUAAUAUUUUUAAUGGUGGACUUUACUUAAAUAACUACCUUAAAUUCUUUCUAAAAUAUUCUAAGGUGGAUACCAUAUAAUCCACUAACUAAGACUAAAUCCUAAAAACUUCUAUAAAUUUCUCAAAUAUGACUUGAAUUAUCUAUCCUUAUGUAUCAACAAUAUAAAUAUCUUAUCUAUUUUCUGUUAAAACUAUUAUUUAAAGAUAAGAAAACUAUAGACUCUUGAAACUAGACCAAAAGCAAGAAAAAAAUUAAGAAGAAUGAAGAAGGCUUUAUUCUUGCCUCUAUAUAUACUAUCUAUCUAAAAGCUAUGUAGUGACGUUCUAUAGGACUUCUAAAAUAUGUUGAUUUUGUACAAAUUAUUAUUAUAAUAUAAUAUAGCUAAUAGAUAAAAGAAUAUAGAAAUUAUUAUAUUAUAGAAGAUCUUAGUUCAAAAUAUUAUAAAAAAUUAUCUUAAAAGUAUAGAUAAUAGUCAAAAGAGUAGUAAAACUAAAAAAUAUUAAUAUUGCUUCAUACAAAAUGAACUUCUAUUUUUUAUGUAGGACCUUAAAUAAGGCAAAAUAAAGAAAAUUAGAAAAUUAAAUAAUAUGGACAUGUAUAGGAAGGAAUUAAGAGUAUAUUUGAAUAAAAUUUACCUCAAAAAGCCAAAAAUUGAUACUCAGAGAGGAUUGGCUGUCAACUUGGGUUGAAAUCAGACCCUGAGACACAAAAUUAUACAUAUACAAUGACUUUGGAGAUUCUUUUGUAGAUUAAAAAAUAGGAUUUGAUAGCAAACUUGAUAGGGUUUUUAUAAGCAUUGGUUUUGUAUAAUUUAGAUUCGUAAUGAUUUUUUAAGAGCUUUAUAAAGUCAAGCUUGUUUCAAAAGACUUGAAUUUUUGUAAAAUAAAAUAGGUUGACAUUUUGGGUAAUUUCAAGAUUUUUUUAGCAGAUCUAUUAAUGAUUUUUUUUGAAGUAAUGGCUAUAGUUGUGUUAAAUAUUUAUUAUAAAUUUUAGCUUGAUCUAAUAGUUGAAUUGAGGAUUAUUGAGGUUUAAGUGGGUCAUAGUUUGGGAAAGUAGAAUUUUAGAUCUAAUAAGGAUUUUUAAGAUUUCUUACAAUCUACUCAUUGGAUUGAAGUGAAAAUUAUGUGUGUGAGUAGUAGACUUAUUUUCUUACAUAUAUGAGAAUUUUGAGAUCAAUUAAAUGGUGCAAAGAAGAAAUAUUAGCAUUAAAAGAUCAGCAUUAAGGUUGGAAAAGGAGGCUAGCCAAUAUCCGAGUAGAUUUUAAGAUUUUUCUUUGAUUUGAUAAGUACAAUUGACUUCAAUUUUAUUAUAUUUGUUUUUCACUAAGAAAGGUGUUUAAAAUUUUAAAGAAGAUCAAUGGUUUAAUCAAAAGAUAUCAAGGUUUUAAACUAUCUUAGGAUUUGGUUUAGUGUCAGCUCUCAAUUAUAUUCUAAAAUUUAAAUUUUUGUUAUUUUCCUAUUUUAUGAUAAUUAAAUAUGUUAGAUUAGGAUUUAUAUAAAUAGAAUUCAGUUUUAUAGAAUUUUUAGGAUUACAAUCCCUCAUGGUAUAAAUCAUAGCCUAAUUCCUUGAAUUAGGUUAAUUAGGACUAAAGUGACAAGAGUUAGAAAAUUAGAAUAGCAACUUAGUUAGUUUAAUAAUUUGAAGGUUGUUAGUAAUUACUAUAAGGAUUGACUAAAAGCCAAUGAGUAUGGCUAUAAUCAUUCUCAUGAUUUAGGGGUUGGAAUUAUAAUUCUCUAAAAGAUUUAGGGAAGUUAGCAAUGGUAAUUUUGGAUUUUUCCUCCAAAUUCCGCAAAUUUAAGCGACAUGGUGGUUCUUCUACUUAAUGGGAGUCUCUUUAAUGGAAUGGUGGCACCAGAUUUACCUUUUGGAGUGAAGAAAAUAAGACCAGCAACCUCUCCUUCAAAAUACAAGAGAAGCAAUGAAAUUCUCAUUUUGAAAAAUUUCACAAAAAAAUUGCCAAGAUCCUUAUAAGUAAAAACUUCCAUAGAAAUUAUAAUUGAGCAUGGAUUGGGGCAUGUAAAUAGUUGAUCUUAGCUUAAAAAUGUGUUUUGAACACAAUAGUGAAGUUAGAUUUACAAAAAAAUUCCUUCUUGACUACUUACAAGGGCCAUCAGCCUUGAUAACGAGAUUGGCUCUUGGAUGAAUGAAGGCCGUAGAUCUAGAUUAGGGAUCUGAAAAAUCAAGGGUGGAGAUGUAGCCACCCUUCUAUGAGCCUCCACUCAAUUUUAUAAGGGAGGCUUGGUUUUCCAAGCCCUCUCUCUCUCUCCUCUUUUGGUGAAGGGCGAAGCUAUGCUAAAAUUUGGCCAAAAAUCCUAAUUUUAAUUUCAUUUAGAUUUUAAAUCUCAUUGUGAAUUUUGUGGGUGGGUGUGCAUGGAUUUCGAGUUGUGAAUGAUAGUCAUUGGGUCUUAAAACACGUUUCAUUGUGGUGAAUAGCUCCCUUGGCCUCCCAAUUACUCCAAGGGUUUCAAGAGCCUCAGAUUUCUCUCCAUCAGUCAUUCAAUUGUUUUAGUUCCAAUGUGAUUUUUUUUGUGGUUGUAGGUUUUGUUGUUAGCUUUCCAACAAGGUAAAGCUUGCUCCAUUUGGAGUUGACCUGAAUUUUUGGUGAUAUUUUGAGUGUGAGGGGGUCGACUGCCUUCGCAGUUUGGAUUAAUCGAGUUUGGGAAGGCAUUUCUCAGUGCUUGAUGACUGGAUUCGUUUGAAAUUUUGGGAGCAUCAAGAUUUGUAAGCUAAGCUUUGAAGGGCACAAGUUUCGCUAGUUUUGAAGACAAUUUGAAUUUUUAGCGAAUUUCUAAGUGAAGGGGGUUGGUCGCCGCGGCAGUUUGGAUCACUCAACUUCAAAGUAGCAAUUCUCACGACUGGAUCACUAGAUUGCAAUGAGAUUUGUUGGGACAGGAGCGUCUUUAAGUUAAACUUGCAACAACUUGUGAAUCAUUCAAUUUGGAGCUAAUUAAAAUUUUUGGAGAAUUUUGGAGUAGAAGGGGGUCGCUGCCUUCAAUCCUUGGCAUUGUCAAGGUACUUUCGCUUUUACCCCUCUUAUUUUAUUUUUACUUUUAUCUUCACAGUAACUCGUAAUCUCUACAUUUCAACUUUUGACUAAUAAAUUUUAACUUUUAACUUUUAACUUUUAACCUUUAAUAUUCUUACUUAAAUUUUUAAACUUUGAACUUUAACUUUUGAAUUUAAUAUUUAACUUUAAUUUUUAACUUUUAACUUUAACUUUUAACUUUAAAUUUUAACUUAAUUUUUAACGUUAACUUUUAACUUUUAAUUUAAACUUAAGUUUUUAUUCUUAUUGUGAAUUAAUAAAAAAAACUUAAUUAAUUACUUUUAUCCUUUUUUUGUGUGGUGAAUUUCAUCUGAUAUUUUAGUUUAAUAUCGGUAACCAUUGCUUGGAAGGCAUUAAUUUUAAUUGAAUUACAACCACCCACAUUUUAAUUAACCUAACAAUUUCAGAAUUGGGAGUUCUUCUAUUCUACCUCUUGAGCUCUUUGUGUAGUACUAAAUCCAGAGUGGUGGAUUUUAGGCUCACAUUUAAGAUUUAGGAUUUGAUUAGGAUUUGAUUUAGGAUCCAAGAUUUAUCUAAGAUUUGGUUUACAAUUUAGAAUUUGAUUAGGGUUUGGUUUAGAUUUUAGAAUUUUGGAUUUGGUUAGAAUUUAAUUAGAGUUUGGAAUUUAUCUAAGAUUUGGUUAGGAUUUGAUUUAAAAUUCAAGAUUUGAUUAGGAUUUGGUUUAGAGUUUAGGAUUUGGUUAGGAUUUGGUUUUGGAUUUAGAGUUUAGGAUUUGGAUAGGAUUUAGUUUAGGAGUUUAAGAUUUAGUUAAGAUUUGGUUAAGAUUUGAGUUAUGUCUAGGGUUAGUUAGGAUUUUGUUUAGAAUUUAGAAUUUGUUUAGGAUUUGGUUUAGGAUUUAAAGUUUAGAAUUUAGUUAGGAUUUGGCCUAGGGUUUGAUUGAAGUCCAUUAGGAUUUUAAGUAGGAUUAUAUUAGGAUUUAUUUGAGAUUUAUUUAAGAUAUAUUUGUGAUUAUUUUAAAUUUUUUUAGGAUUUCUUAAGGAUUCUUUUAAGAUUUAUUGUGGAUUUCUUUUGAAUUCUUUUAAUAUUUCUUAUUAUUUCAUUUUUAAUUUCUUUAAGGUUCUUUUGAAUUUGAUUAAAGCUUACUUAGCAUUGUUAUGGUUUAAUUAGAGUUUAUUUAGUGUCUUAUUAAAGUUAAGAUUUUAUUGCUACAAUUUUCAUUCUAUCUUCUAUAGCCGAGUGAUUAGUGCAUUUUUAAGUAAGACUUCAUGUAUUACAACAACGUAUCUUAACUUAUAAGGCAAGUAUUUUAUAUAGGCACCACAUAGUUAGCUUGUUUUAUAAGUUACCUAUAUGUGUGGUACUUGAAUAAUUUGUUGAUCAAGUUUCUAAGUUAUCAAUCAACUAUAAAUACAUGUAAAGUCAAAGCAACAUCUAUAAACCUUCUAAAAAGCUUUUCUAAAAUUUAUUAUAAUAUUAAUUAAUUUUUAUUUAGUUCUACCUAUUUAUAUUACUUAAAUAAUACUUAUAAUAAAUAUAUGUCCAUAACAUUAUUUCCUCUUUUAAGGACGAGUUCCAAGAAGAGUGGUAAUCACAUUUUGAAGAAGUUUAAAAUGUCACAAAUUACAUUUAUCAUAUAUUCUAAUCUUUCUUUCCUUCAAAAAUAGUUGAUAGGUCUUCUUAGCUAUUGAUAAUGUCUCAUUUUAAUGCAAAAAGUCUACCCUAUUUUUUGAUUAUUGUUGACACCUUUAUAACUUCUUUCAAAUAAAAUAUUAAUAAUGCCAAUAAGAAUCAUUUCUAUCUUCAAUAAAAUUGCCAAACAUCAAGACUUUCUUUUUAGGUUGUUAUAUCCAAUGCGUUGUAUCUUUCCAUCUAUUUGAAAAAAAACAUGUCACUUUUAAAGGUCUUCAUUUCUAUUAUGUUGUCUUAAAGGCUAUAAUAAUUACAAUAUCUUAUCCAAUAAGUCAGCAAAUGAUGGCUCUUGAGUUGAAUCUACUUAUUCUUAAUUUUUUAUCUCUUUAAUGCCAAUAUUACAUAAAAAUUAUAAAUAAAAAUAGAAGAUAGAAUAUAAUUUUUCUUAAAUUAUGUUUCUUUUAUAUCAAAGAUUUUUCUAUUUUCAUCUUAGUUUUGAUAAAUAUCAUUGAUGAAAGCUUUGACCUUCUGUCUUGCAUUUUUAAGAUUUUUUGCAAGCUUCCAUGUACAUUUGCUAGUAUUAUAUCUACACUAAUGAAUAAGAUAUUCCAACCUAAGUUGGUGCUACCUCAGAUCGAAGACUUCUUCUACCUCAAAUUCUUCAUUAUUAUCUAGUUUUAUAGAAAGUGGUGGAAUUUGUCUUCUUUCUAAGAUAUUUUCUAACUUAUAUGGCUCUAAGAGGAAAUACAUGAAAUGUGGAAUGGAUUUUCAUAGACUUCAGUAGAUGUAAUCAAUAAGUGAUUGAAUUGACUUGUUCACAAAUUAGAAAUGGUCCAAGUCUAUGAUAAUCUAACUUCUUACAAGAAAAAAUAUUUUUAAUAUUAUGAUAAAGUAAUCAUAUUUUAUCUCUAAUACAAAAAUGAGGUUGUUCUUAUAAUAGGCAUCCAUAUUACUUUUUUGUUGUUCUUAAGCUUCUUUUAGUUAUGCCUUUAUUAUUGUAUGUAGCUCAGAUAUAUGAUUUACUAAAUCUUUUGUCAUAAGAUAAUCAACUUUUAAAAAGUCAAAAACAUCAAAUUAUGGAUGUUAACCAUAAUUGAAAAAAAAAAUUAUUUGUUAUAUAAAAGAAUGUACCGUAUUAUUAUUAGUAAACUUUGCCAAUCGUAAAAAAAUUAUCCAAUCAUCUUAUUGAUAGUUGAUGAUAUAUUUCUAAUAUAUUCUAAAAUUUGAUUUACAUGCUCUAUUUGUCUAUUAGUUUGAGAAUGGAAAGCCAAAGAUAAUUUUAUGUCUACCUUGAGAAUCUAAAUAAUAAAUUCUCCAAAAUCUUGAUACAAACUAAGUUUCUUAUUUGAUAUAAUAUCCCUAGGCAAUCCAUCAUAAUAAUAGAUAUUGUCAAAAAAAAGCUUGGCUAUUUCUUCACCUCUGAUAGAUUUUGUAUAUGGUACAAAGUAUGCUAUCUUGGUGAAAUAAUCUACUAUCACCAAUAAAGAUUCAUAAGAACUUGAAACUAAAAGAUUUGUAAUAAAAUCCAUAGAAACAAAAGAUCAUAAUUGGUCUUAAAUGGAUAAAGGUUAAAAAAGUCCAAAAGAUUGAUGACAAGAAGUUUUUGAUUUUGAGCAAACUUCAAAGGAUAACACAAAAUAUUUAACCACUUUCUAUAUUUGGAACCACCAAAAAUUCUAAGAUGUUAAUUUUUAAGUCUUAUUGAAUCCACAAUGUAUUAUUAUUGAAAAGUCAUGACGAGCUCAAAGAACACAUAAUCGAGCUUUAACUUGUAAAAUAUAAAAGUAUCCCUUGAAAUAUUAAAAGAUUGUUUUUGAAUUCAAAGUUGGAAGUAUUAUUAGACUUUGAAGGAUUUUUCUUAAUAUUACAAAUAAGAAGGUCAGAAGACAUACUUAAUUAAACUUGCUUAAUAAAAGUUGAAUCAAUAGUUAAUUUUAAUUUCAUUGCUUGAAGAUGAAGAUGCUCUAACUUUAAGAAAAUUAUCCAUUAUUAAUCAAAAGCAAUAUUUCUUUCUUUUAGUAUAAAGUAAGAUUGUCUAAAUAGUACAUUUGAAAAACCUUGUUGUUUUCUUAGUCAAUAAGUGAUUUUGAAUUUGAAUCUUGACAAAGACAUGCUCCAACAAGCUUGGUGAUGAUUCAGAAUAGAUGUUGACAUAAAAUACUAAAGAUUCUUAUUAUAUGUAUACUCACUGAUUGAAUUAGGAAUACAUUCUAAAUAAUGGUGCUAUUCUUGAAAUAAAUCUAUCAUUGCAAAAAUUUCUUUUUCUUAGAUCUUGUAGUUGAUCUUGAUUGUUGAAUUUUUUUUAAAAUGAAAAGCUAUUAGAUGAGCUUUAUCAAUUGUUCCUAUUUGUAACAAUAUGAUACUCAAAGAAAAGUUUGAUGCAUCUAUUUUCAUAAAAAAUAGCUUAAAAAAGUUGACAUAAUAUAAGUUUAGAACAAAAUAAAGGCUUUUUUCAAAGCUUCAAAUGCUGCUUCUACUUCUUGAUUCUAUUGAAGUUUGUCUUUAAAAUUCAAACAUAUAAGUAGAGUGGCAACUUGAAAAAAGUCCUUCAUAAAGAUCUGAUAGUAGUUGACAAAUCCCAUAAAAUAUUAGACAUCUCUUAUUAUUUUUGAGAUCUUCAAUCCAUGAUAGUUUGAAGUUUAAAGUCCAUCAUUUGAAAUGAUGUAUCUCAAGAAGUUGACUUGAGUAAUGUAAAAUACAUAUUUUUUUAUUUUUAAUUUUUCAUCUUGACAUAGAAUUUUUUAUUUUUUAGAUUUUAUAUCACACAACGGACCUAAAAUUUAUGUUAUUUUAUAUUCUUAGAAUAGAUUAAGAUGUCAUUUAUAUAGCAAAUAAUAAAAUUAUCUAAAAAUUCUAAAAAGUUAUUAUUCAUUAGAAGUUGAAAAGUUGGUACAUUUUUGAGUCCAAAAGGCAUGACAUUAUAUUGAAAAUAUCCAUAUCUAAUUUUCCAUUCAUCUCCUUCUUUGAUGAGUACUACAUUAUAUGUCUUUCAUAGAUCUAUUUUUAUAUAUAUCUUAGUUUGAUUUAACCAAUCAAAAAGUCUAGAUAUCAAAGAUAACAAAUAUCUAUUUUUGAUGGUAAUCUUCUUGAAUUUUCAAUAAUUAACUUAAAUCCAUAAUGAUUUAUGUUUUUUCUUUACAAAUAAAAUUAGAGCUCUUGCUAGAGAUUUGAAAUGGCAUAUGAAGUUUUUGAUCAAAUUUUCUUAAAUAUACUCUUUUAAUUUAGCCAACUCAUUUUUUUAAUAAAUUAUAGAUUGCUCCAAAUGGCGGUUAAGCUCUUUCUUGAAGAUCAAUUGAAUAGUCAUAGGAAUAAUGUUCCAAAAGAGUAUUUAUAUUCUUCUUCUCAAAUAUAUCUUAAAAAUCUUAAUAUUGACUUGAAAUACCAUUUAAAGUCUUUUUACUAUUAGAAAUAGCUGUAGCAUAAAUGACAUAAGGUGAUCUUUCUUUUGUAGCAUGUAAAAAAGUCCUUGCACCUAUAAAUAUAGGUUUAUUUGUAUUAGACUUAUGACUUUCUACUUGAUUAACUAUAAUCUUACUUAUACUUUUAAAAAAGUCAAGACUAUGAAAAAUCUAAUCUAUUCAAGGAUUGUAUUUUUUUAACCAUGAUAAAUCUAAGAUGACUAAAUUUGAAGAAGAUCUAAUAAUAUUAAAUACCACAAAGCUACUAUGACGAUUAAUUAUUACUCUUAGAGGAAAUAUUUCAUGAAUAACAUCAUCAAAGUAUAACAAAUGACCAUCUAUGACUUUUACAUGAAUAUAUUUUAUUUUCUUUAUUAAAAAUAUGUUAUAUCUUUUAAUGAAUUCUUCAUCUAAAAUACAAGCUGAGACUCCUAAAUCUAUCAAGGUAAAAGACUUGUGAUAUUUAAAUCCUAAAUUAAUAUCUAUUAUAAAAUAAAAAAAUAAUUUUGAGCAAAGAAUAGGACCUUCAUUAGGUGAUUUUUGAAUAUUUAAUUUGUGCAAGGUUUCAACUACAUAGUCUAUAUUGUAGUUGGAAAAAAUUAUUUUUUGACAUAUUAUCUUUUUUGAUAGUUAUACUUCUCAUUUUAUGAUUGUAUCGCUUCUUUGAAAUAUAUUGAGCAGUGUGCUUUGAUUUUCUGUAAUAUAAAUAUAAUCCUUUUUUUCAAUGAUAAGUCUUUUCUUAUUCAAUAAGAAAUUUGAAAUGUACCACAACAAUUUGAAUAUCCUCUACUUUCAAAGGUAUAUAUUGAGAAGACAUUGGUGUUGCCAUUGAAUUGUAAUAACAUUAAUAGGGUAGAGAGAAUUUACCUUAAGAAAGUAUUUGGAUCUUGGCUAUUUCUAAUUGCUCAAUCAAAUCUCAAGAUAGAAAAAUAUCAAGUUUUUUAUAUAUAAUUUUUUUUCUAUAGAGUUAAUUACAUUAAUACAUAAGUCUUAAGUACUAAAAAAUAUCCAAAAUAUGGUAAAAAUAUUUUAAAUCCUUAUAUAUCUUUAAGCUGAUUUUUUUCCAAACUUCAAUAGAUCAUAUUUCAUGAUCAGACUAUCUAAACAAACUAAAACUUUUUAUGAAGUACUGAUGUACUUUAAACAAAUACUAUAACAAAUUUUAACUACAAAUUUUUUACAAAUCUUGAGAUAUUGCAAAAAUGCUAAUAGUAGCUUCAAAGCCUUAUUUGAAUACAUUCAUGUCUAAUUUUCUUCAUAUUUUACAAAUUAAAUAUUCAAAAAUAAUAUAUAUUUUAAAAAAUUUUGAUACAAAAUUUCGUUAAAAAUUUAAAAUAUAGCUCCAACCAUUACUUCUAUUAAAAUGACUCACUUACAACCUUUGAAUUACAUGUGCUAUCUUCAAUACUUUAUAAUUCCUUCAUACAAACUUCAAAUAUAAUAAUUCUUUUGUAAAGACAUAGAUAUUAAAAUUAUCCUUUUGAUUAUAUCUCCCAAUCUCUAAAAGCUAUUCUAUAAUUCUUCAUAUCUUCAAAUAAGCAAUAUUAUAUCUUAAAAAGACACAUUAACUUCAAAUGGCUAUAAUUUCAUCACCUUAACUCCAAACCUUCUAAAUUUUAUGUAAAAAUUUUAGUCCAAAUUCUUAACUUUAUAAUCUUUACUUUCAAUUCUCAAAUGAUUCAUUUAAAGUUAUCAAAAUUCUGAUUAUGGUCAUAGAUAGCCUCUUGAGAGCCUAUUGGAUAUGGCUUUUGAUCAAUAGAGAUGAAGAUCCUCAUUCCUUACCUUCAUCCAUCCAUACCUUAAGCUUCUUAGAGGUUUGGAUAUUCAUCUUUAAGCUCCAAUCUUUUUUUAAAAUUUUAUACUAAAUAUUUAAAUCCUAUAUAAUUUAAAUACUAUAAUCAAAAUAAAUAAAUCUCAAAAUAAAUUUUCUUAUAUCAACUCUCUUUAAAUUAAUCUACUAACUACUCUAAUACAUAUCAAUAUUUAUAAAUAUAUUAUAUAUUUUAAUUAAUUUUUAUAUAUAUUAUAAAUAUCUAUAGUACAACAUCCACAUCCUUUGAAUCUGCACAUCAUCUGAUAUAUACUAUGUGCUACUCCUCCUUAUCCUCUCGAGGUUUUUUUGAAUCAUUUAUAGGUUCUUUUACUUCAUAAUUUUAGUCAAAAUAUUAAAGUAAGAAUUCUUCAAGGUCUUUUAUUUUGAAUUGCAUAUUUCUUUUUUUAAAAGCCUUCACUCUUUUUUUUGCUUUUUAAAUUCUAAUGUUAGUUCUAUCGAAUUCCUGUAAAGUAUAUUUUGCAUUAUCAUAGAUUGUAACUACUAUAUAUGGUUUUAACCAUUUUUUUGUAAUUUUUUUUACAGUGCUAUAUUAUUAUUCAAACUUGCUAUCAUAAACUAGAACCUAGUCUUUAAUCUUUAUAGGCUUAAGCCUCAAUUUAUGAGUUCUGUCAAACCUUUCUUUAUUUUUUAAUCUUGCUUCCUUUAACUUUUCAUCUACAAUUUGUAGGUCUCUAGGUAACCUUCUCAAUUAUUGGAUCUAAAGUUCCAGUGGUAUUUCUCUAUUAAUAUUAUCUUUUCAAGAAAAUAACAUAUAACAUAGACUUUUCAUCUGAUAUCAUAGAUUUUUGUCAUAAAAUUAAUUCUAUAGGCAUAUAAUUAGUGAUAGUACUAUGAGUAGUCCUAUCAACGUAUAAAAUAAAUGAAAGUAGUUUAGGCCAUUGAAUUGGCUUCUCCUUAUAUGCCUUAAUUAAUGCAUAAAUGAUAAAAAAAUCACUCCUUUAAUUCUUUUCAUGGCCUUUAGGAUUAUAAAAAGCGGUCAACUUUAAUUGAAUUUCAUAUGUAUUAAAAAAUUCUCUCACUUCCAAAAUAUUGAAUUUUCUUCUAUUAUCUUUUAUUUUUCCAAUGCUAUUAUAUGUGUUGAAGAUGUCUUCUAGUAUAAAUCUACAUAUUGCUUUUGUGGUCUUGGUUCUCAAAGCCCUUCUUUCAAUAUAAUUUGAUAACUUUUUUGUUAUCAAAACUAAGUAUUUGAUAUGCCAAAGUCUUGAUGUCACGGACAUACAAUUGAAGAAGAUUUAAGAAGAUUUUAGGAGAUUCUAGAAGGAUCUAAAAAGAUUUUUGAAGAUCCAAAAAGGUUCCAAUAGGUUCUAAGAAGGUUCUAAAAGAUUCUAAUAGAUUCUAAGAAAAUUCUAGAAGAUCAUAGGAGAUUCUCGAAGGUUUUAAAAGGCUUUAGAUGAUUUAGGAAGUUCCCAAAGAAGGAUGUUAAGCUUGCUUUGUUUCCAAGCCUCAUGAAAACUUCUUAAAAAACUUCCUAAGACCUAAUAUAUAUAAGAGUCGAGGCUGAGGGAAUCCUCAAUUUUGACAACUCACUUCUUUUGGUCUAGCUAGGACCUUUUUGCCUUAUAUCUAUUAUAUCAAUUAUUGUUCUAAUGUCAAGCUAAUUCCAUUUCUUCAUUUUGAAUCCUUGUCUUAUAUAUGAUUCCUAGUAGUUUGUCGAGACUAUCAUAAAGUAAUAUUAGAAGCUUGGUCUUUUUUGAUAGAGAAAAGAUUAUUCCUCUUCUUAAAAGUAUUAAAGCAUUCUAGAGGUUGCAGAUUAUCUUUUCCUAGAUUAAUAUUAUUCUUUUUUUAAUAUUCUUUUGAUUUUUUUCUUUAUACCAUAAAUUAGUUUUUUUUUUUUUUUUUCUUUGAAUGCGUGUAUUUUUCUGAUUUUUAUAGUACAAGGUGGAAAAAUCAAUAUAAAAAAUUCCAAAGAGAUCAAGAUAGAUUCUAUUAUUAAUAGUCUUGAAGCAUUGAGGAUUAAGAAAAAGUCUUUGUUGAAGUAGAAUAAAGAAUUAUAUAUGACCAUACAUAAUGAUCAAGGAGAAGGAGUGCCUCAACCACCAUAUCAAAUGGCAAUAGAGAUUCCAAAUUUUCAAUGAUUAUAUGUGUUUUAACAAACAUGGGAGGUUCAUCUAUUCAAGGCAUUGAUUUAAAAAUAAUAAUAGCAAAAGAACCAAGGAUCAGCCUUCCAAAAAAGUUUGAUGGCACCCAUUUAUAAUUUUUUAGCUUUGUAAAUCAAGUAUAACUAAUCACGUUGCUUCAACCUUAAUGAUAUUCCACUGAAGUAUCUUGUGUUGGUUUGGUUGAAACCUUACUCUUAGUUCAAACUUUAUCUUGAUUUGCUCUAUUAUUUAAAAAUAAUUCUCUUAUAUUGCACAAUUUUGAAGCAUUUUUGAUAGCAUUUGCACAAGCAUUUGGUGAAUAUAAUAAGAUUCAUUCUUCCACAAUUAAAAUUUGAAGCCUUCAAUAAAGAACGCAUUCUACAUCAAUAUAUACCUCAGAUUUUUAAAAAUUAGCAUGUAAUAUAAAUUUGAGAGAAGAUGCAUUGAUGAGUCAAUUUUAUUAGAAAUUAAGAAACAAUGUCAAGGACUUAUUGUUGUCUAUGCUAAAUCCUCAAACUUUCAAUGAAGCUAUUAAUUAAGUUGUGAAGUAUGAUAAUCAUUUAUUUCAAUGAUGACAAGAUAAACAUUAUUCAAUUAUGCCACAUGUAUACACCAAUUAUUCUACAGCUUCUUCACCAUUCAAUUCUAAUGAUCAUAUGGAAGUAGAAGAUAUGUAGAUUGAUGUAGUUCACUUCAAACUUCUUUUGAAGCAAAAAAUAAAGCAUUGAAGAAAACUUAUCCUAUGCUUAUAUUAUAAAAAAUUUAGCCACAAAGUUGAUAAUUGUUCAAAGAAAUGCCAACGCAUAUAUCAAAUGAAGAGUGCAGCCACAUCAUCAAAACUUUUAUAAGAAAACAAGGGCGUCCAGUCAUAGUGAAGACCAUUUUUAUGUUGUAGUUCGGCUACCAUGUGAAAAUAAUGUGUUUAUAUAUUUAAUGUAUAAUUUACUCAGCAAUAUGGUGAGAGCCAUGUUAUUGGAUUUUACUUGGUUGUAGAGUGUAGUUAAAUUACUACUUUAAAAAGAUUACUAUUAGAAUUUGUAUAAUUUUUUUUUCUUUUGAUAAUGACUUUUGAAGUUGGUUUUAUUAGUAGAAAAUUUAUACAUUUAAAGUCACCUUUAUUAAACAUUGGUGACCCUUAAAGUUUUAUUUUGAUUCUUUAAUUUGGUAUUUAAGGCAUACAUUAUAUAAAUCUUGGAAGAAAAAGGAUUGGAGAAGGAUCUUAGUAACAAAAAAGAGAAGUUAGGGCAUCCAUAUAGAUGAAUGGAGAUGGAUGAUAAAAAUCUCUAUUCCUAUUGGCCAAAAAUCAUAACCAAUGGGCUUCAAGGAGGCUGCUUGAGGCCAUAUUAGGGAUUAGAGUUAGUCUUUUGUAGGGAUUCAAACAUUAGAGGCUAGAGUCGGCAAGUUUAGAUUUUUGGCUACGAUUUUGGUGUAAAUUUUGAAUCCUUUGGAAUUUUUAUCAAAAAGAUAUAGGUGCUCAAAGUAAAGGUAUUGGUUUUAUAUCUAUUAUCACUCUUUUGGAUAUAAUGCACGCAUAUAAAAAGUAACUAAGGAUCCAUGUCAUACUAUGAUUACUUAUAAUAUGUAAAAAUUAAUUAAGAUAUAUAAUAUGUUUGGAAGUCUUGAUGUAUAUUAGAGUGGUUAGUAAAUAAAUUUAAAGAGAAUUGAUAUUAGAAAAUUUAUUUAGAGAUUUAUCUAUUUUGAUUAUAGUAUUUAUAUUAUGUAAGAUUUGGAUGUUUAGUAUAAAUGUUGUUUUCAUUGUGUUCAAGCUUCAAUAUAUCAAAGCAAUUGAACUAAUAGAGAUGGAUUCGAAGAUGGAGAAAGACUAGUUAUAUGAAUUGGGUGUGUUAGUGUUACAAUUGACUGUACUCUAGCUAUCUGAAAUCAAUUAUCAAACUACAAAACACCAAGGUUUACUACUUUCGUCUUAAUUCAACACAUAAUCUAUUCUAUGACUAUCAAUUCAAUAAUACUUCCAUAUUCUUAUCAAUUCAUCUCCCACUUACUUUUUUUGUGAUUUAUAUAUAUUUAAUUACUAAUUUUUAGCUUACUUAUUAUAUUCAGUUUCUCAAUUCAUCAUACAAAAUUCAAUAUCUUCAUUUAACACAACACAAUUUGAUAAUCUCAAUUCUCAAGGUCACAGAUUUUCUCCAAAACGGUUAGUGCAAAGUCAUAUUCUACAAUAUUUUAAUCACAGUUUUAACAAUACUUCUCUCAAUCACAAUUCUUCAUAAGCAAAUAAUAAAAGCAAAGAAAAUAAAGAGGUAGCACCAAGCUUACCGGGCUUAUGACUCUCACAAUCUGGCCUUGAUCUCCCUUUUUUCAACCUCUUUAUUCUACCAAAAGAUGGAUUGUCAGCCAGUAGAUUCCAAAGGUUAUGAACUUUUGAAUUCUUAACCAUUUGUUCUACUAACAACCUACUGUUACCAACUAAACUGCUUAACCAUAAGUCUAAUUUUCAAGGUUGUCAAUAACCAACCAGUAACUUACCACAAAAUUUAUUUACAUAUUCUACAAUAAACCUUAAGAAAAGAUUGGAAUUUAGAGAUGAAAGUCUAAACUAUUAGAAGGCUUAUUGAGAGGGAUGAAAGUAAGGCAUGGUUGGAUGAAGGCAAGGAAUAGAGAUUUUCAUUCCUAUUGGUCAAAGGCUAUGUCCAAUGGGCUUCAAGGAGGCUACCCGAGGCCUUAUUAGGAAUUAGGAUUUUUCUUUAAAAUUUAUUCGAGCUUUGGAGGCUAAGUUCAGCUAGUUCAAGAUUUUGGAUAUAAUUUGGGUGAAGAGUUUAUGUGAUUUCGAGUUUUUGUGAAGGAAAUAUAGGUAUUCAAAGUUAAGGUAGAAAAUUCGUACCUAUUGUCAUUCUUUGAAGCAUAACAUAUGCGUACACAGAGCAAUGAAAGAUCUGCAAUUGGAGUUGGAGAGAACACAUUUUUGACUAUACUUUUUAUGUACUGAUUGAUGAAUUUCAAGUCUGGAUGAAGGAGUUAUAGGACAAUAAAGACAGUACAUGUAAUUCAAAGGCAGUAAGUGAGUCAUUUUGUUGAUAGUAAUGUUUGGAGCCAUAUCUUGAGUUUUUUGGACGAAUUUUUAGCUUAAAAUUUCUAUAAAUGUGAGUUAUUAAGUAAAAAAACUAUAAAUCAAAGUUUCAUGGUAUAAGAGUACUUAUUUUGUGAGAUAUGAAGAAAAUAGCACAUGGGUGUAUGUCAGCUAGGGUUUAAAGCUACUGUUAGGAUUUUGGUGAUAUUUCAAGAUCUAUAAUGAAUUUGUAGUUGAAUUUUUUUUUAUAGUUUUUGAGGAUAUAGUAAUACUUUAUGUAAAAUUUUAGGUUGUUUGGACAGUUCGAUCAUGAGAUAUGAAUUAUUAAAAUUUGAGAAACAUUGCUCUUAAGGAUAUGUAAGGUUUUAAGAUAUUUUAUCAUAGAUUUGGAUGUUUUCUUAGUACUUGGGCUUAUGUAUUGAUGUAAUUGCCUUAAAAGAGAAUAUAUUAUAUAUAUAAAUUUGAUACUUUUAUAUCUUAGACUUGAUUGAGCAUUUAGUGGCAACCAAAAGUCCAAUACUUUCUUGAGGCAAAUACUCUCUACCCUGACAUAUUGGUGCUUCCACUAAGAUAAUUAUCUCAAAAAGGUACUAAUUAUCUUAAGGCACUAAUUAUCUCAAUAAGUUGAAAUGGAAGAUCAAAAUUUAGGAUUUGGAUUAUUUAGAGGAGUAGGUGCCUUUGAUUUAUUUAAGACAUUUGCUUAAUUUAUAGAAGAAAGAUAACAGGUGCAUUGAAAGGAUAGGAGCACUACAAAGGCCUUACAAAUAGUAGUAGAUAAAGUUGAGAGGUUUCAUGGAAGGAAUAUCACCAAGUUCUUAAAGAUUUACACAUGUAAAAUACAAGUGCAUCAAGUCCCAGAAAUGAAGAUGAUCACUACUUUUGAUUUGGUAGUGAUAACAAAAAUUAGGAAAAAGGUGCAAGAGUUGCAUGUAGAAUCUAUAUCAUGGAAGAAAUUUGAAGAAUUCUUGAAAGAUGAAUUUUUUGAAGAAGAUUCAAAAAGAAUGACUAAGGUGACUUUUUUUUGGAGUGGAUUGAGUAUAGGCGAGGGAAUCAAAUGGCUCCAAAUGAAUUAAUCAGGAAAUUUGAAAUUAAAUUUGGAUAAUUACCAUGGAAAGAGAAGUAACUAUUAGAAACAAAGAAAAUUGAGUUAUUUUUGUAAGCAGCUGAUGAAUAUUUGCAAGAUAAGCUUCUAUUUUAUCUAAUAGAUAAGACAUCUGAGAGUGGUUUUAUAAAUAAUUGAAAGCUAGUAAAAGAGAAAAUGGGACUUUUGGCUAAACAACAAAAGAUUAAGACUUAUAGUUUAAUAUCAAGGUUGGAGCCAUUACCUACAUUUUACAAUCAAGUGCGACUUCAAAAAAUGAUCAAGAUUGUGAAAGACGAUACUCUUGAAGAAUUAAAUAAAGGCAUAUGAAAUUUGAAGGUGGAAAUGACUAAGUUGAAGAAAUUCCAAAUAGCAAACUCAUCAAAGAAUAUUGAAGACUUAAAGAAAUUUGUAGAUAGAUGUAUAUGGUGUGAUAAUCCAAAUCUUAAGCGUGGUGAGUGUGACAACUAUAAAGUUGCAAUUAAGGAUACUAUUGUAUAUUUCAAGAAGGAUAAGAUAAGACUCAUAAAGUCAAAUGAGCCUUUGAAAACUAAUUUUAGAAAGAAUGGCAUGAAAAAAUUGAUAGAAGAGUAAAUAUCAAAGAAUAAUGCUAUACAAAGAAAAGAAGCUCAGUUUUAUUCUAAUACAAUUGAAUAAAAAGAAGUUAAGGCUAAUUCCUUAUUAACUACAAAAAUGAUGAUCAGGGGAGCUAAAGCUAUCAAAAAAAUGACUGGGUAGAAUAAUCCAGUUGAUGCUAUUAAUAUUAAAGCAUAUUUAUGUAGAAACAAACAUCAUGAUGAUCUGCAUGAUACCAUGGUUGAGGAAAAAAGAGGUAGAGCUAUUCAUGAAGAGGAUGUUGAACUUAAAAGUAAGAAGAGGUCUUCAAGUAAUAAAAAAGCAUAUAAGAACACUUUUUCUAAAUGUAAUAAUGAUGGAAUGAGAAGUAAUAGCUAUUUAGUUCUUUAUUGAGCUAGAGCUAUUACGGAGACAUACAUGAGGUUGGAGGAUUCUAAAGAUCCAAUUUUGGCCUUAAGUGAUCAUGGAUCUAAAAUCAAUAUCAUGUCAAGAAACUUAUAUAAGAAAAAUAAGUGGCCAAUUGUAACCAAUCAUGGUUUGGUAAUUAGAGCCGCAAACAACCAACAAGGUGAUUUAUAUGGAGCUUGCCUAGCUGUGACGACUACGAUUGGAGAUGUGAAAGUGGAACAAAAUUUCUUUGUGUAAAAUUCUACUACAUAUCUCGUAAUACUUAGUCAAUCAUAUAUUACAGCUACUAGAAUGGAAACUAGAGUCCUAAAUGAUGGAUCACAUUAUGCCAAGAUUUGUAGUUGGGAUAGAAGAAAAGCUAUGCAGUUUAUUACUGUGAAACCUAUUCAUGAGAGGCAUAGAGAAUAAUUAAGAUGGAUGCCUUUGGAGCCAGAAAACAACUUUGUCGAUUCCUAGAAAGUAUCCUUGUAGAAUGGAGUCACAUGGAUGCAAAUAAGUCAUCUGCAAACCUCAUUGUAGAUAAUAUGAGUUUUGGAUUAUUAAACUUGACUAGUAAUGGAUUUGUGAGUAUUCAAAAGAUUAAAGAUUUAGAUUCUCUACAAAGAAGAAGGAUGAAGAAACAAGAGAAAAACUUUAAAAGAGUGGGUUUAGUUUGAAGUGAUGAAGCCAUAGUUGGAGUAAUAGAAGAAAUAGGUUUGGAAGAUGAUUUGAUAAAAGUUUUGGAGAAUUUAGCUAUAAGCAUAGAUGGAAAUGUUAUAGUAGAAAUAUAUUCAAAAGAGACUUAUAAAGAAUUAAAAAAGUUAGUAGUAAUUGGUGGGCUUGCUACAAGCUAUACAUUGAAAUAUAAGGAUAGAGUACAAACUAAACAUAAAGCUUUGCAAGAAAAAUAAAGCCUAUAGCUACCCAAUUACCAGUUGAUACUAUGGAAUAUAUCAAUCAAGCAAUUAAAGAGCCAAGUCAAAGACAAGGAUGUGGAAUUGGACAUCAAUUUACUCAAGAAUCAUUGGCUAAAUUGAAGAUUGGAGGGGGUGAUUUCUUGACAUCAAUGGAAAAAAUUAUAUUUCAAGAAUUGCUUAUUAAGCAUGGUAAGGCAUUUGCCUUAAUUCCUAAUGAAAUUGGAUGUGUGAAUCCUAAUGUUGUAAUACUUAUGGUAAUCUUUACUAUACCACAUGUUCUAUGGAAUUUAAAGCCUAUACCUGUGCUUAGAGCUUUACUUCCAAAGUUAAUAGAACUACUAAAAGAGAAGGUGAAGAUGGAUAUUUUAGAACCUUCAAUUGCUCCCUAUUCUAAUAGAUGAUUCACAAUACCUAAGAAGUCAGGGGCAUUAAGAUUUAUUUAGGAUAUGCAACCUGUAAAUAGAAUAUUGUCAAGGACAAGAACUCGAUGAAAGCUAAAGAGUAAGUGAGACUUUUCUCAAAAAGAAAUAGGACAAAAUAGAAAUAUGUAUAUUAAGAAAGAAACUGGAAUGACUAUUGCCAAAAUACAAGAAAACUAGAGACCCUUGAAACUAGACUAGAAGCAAGAAAGGAGUUGACAAGAGUGAAGAGGGCUUCACUCUUGCCUCUAUAUAUACUAUCUAACUAGAAGCCACGUGGCGAUGUUCUAUAAGACCUCCAAUAUAUGUUGACUUUCUAGGCCACAUGCCUUUGCUUGCAAGGCAAGUUUUCUAUGGAUGGACCACGUAGUUAGCUUGUUCUUUAAGCUUCCAACAUGUGUGGCACAUGGCUAACUUGUUGACCAAGUUUCUAACCUAAAAGUCAACUAUAGACUCCUAUAAAGUCAAAGCAGCGUCUAUGAAGCUUCUAAGAAGCUUCUCUAGAAGAUAUUACACAAUUAACCUACUUUUAUCUACUUUUACAUACUUUUAUCUAUUCAUAUAGGUAAUUAUAUGUAUGUCCGUGACAAAUAUCUAUUCAAAACAUGAAUACAAGUUUUGUAGUAGAUGAAGUGGGUGAACAAUUUGUAAGUCAUGCCAUCUAUUCUAUUAGAGACUUAUAUUUUAGAUAGGACCAAUUUCAAUUAGCUAAAGAGAGUAGGGACUUAACUACCGUGAAGACUCUUUUGGGUUUAAUGAGGAUAUAUACCUUACCUCAAGGUCCAACCAACUCAGUGGCUCAUAUACAAAAUGUUAUGAACCAAAUAUUGAAAGAAUUUAUACCUAAAAAAACUAUAUCAUUUUUAGAUGAUAUACCUAUAAAAAGAGAUAAAGAAAAAGACAAGAAUGAGAUUAUGGAGGUUGAAGGUCAUAGAAAGUUGGUUAAGAGGCAUAUUGAAGAUGUGGCUCAAAUAUUGGAGAGAUUGGAGUCAAUCAAUCUCACGUUAUCUUUGGAGAAAUUAAGCUUUGGAGUUGAUGAGAUUCUAGUGGUGGAACACAUGUAUGACAAGUAUGGUAGGAAAUCAAACCUUGAUAAAAUUGAUGCUAUAUCUAGAAUGAAGGCUUCUAAAAAUGUUACAGAAGCCAGAAGGUUUUUAAGAGCAUGUGUAUUCUAUCACAUUUAGGUGUUUUACUUUGUCCAUAUUGCAAAGCCACUAUAUAAGUUAUUAAAGAAAAGUAAGAGAUUUGUUUGGAAAGAGAAACAAAAAGUAGCUAUAGAAAAUCUUAAAAAGAUGUUGAGUUCACCACCUGUGCUUAGACAAGUGGAUUAUCAAUGUAGAAAAUCAGAAGUUGUAAUAGUGGAUACAAGCCCCAUAGCAAUUGGAAGGGCUAUUGGAAAAAAUGAUGUAGAAAGGAGAAGGUUUGCUAUAAGGUUUAGAGCCAGGAUUCUUACAAAGAGGCAAAGAACUUAUCCACAAGUUAAAAGAGAGCUUUGGAGAGCACUUACAACUUUAAAGGCUGAGAGGAAUUAUUUGAUUGGAGCAUGUAUGGUUUUGGAAAGAUAUUUUUUGCCAUUACUUGGAAUGAUAAUUAAUUAUACUACUCCAGACAUUACCAUGUUAGGAUGGAUAGCCUACAUAAGAACAUUGAAUCAUGUUUUAGUACAUAUUACUAGCAAAAAAAACUUGGUGGUGGACAUGUUGUCUAGAGUAAGAUAUACCUUUGAAGAAAAAAUGAUGGUAUAUGAAAGAGGUGAAGAUCAAGAAGAAAAGAAUUAUUGGAAUUCAUUUGCUACUAGUGGAUUGGAUUUUGGUAAUAAGAUUCAAAAAUUCUAUGAAGGUUUGUAUGAAGGCAGAUUGAAGGAUAUUAGAAUUUAUUUAAGUACAAUGAAGAAACAAGAAGGAUGGAUAGAUAAAUCAUUCAAAGAUAUUAGAAAUCAAUCCUAUGGUUAAAUGCUUAGGAAUAGAUUCAUAUAGAAGAGGCCAAAAAGAGGUGAUAAAAUCCCAUUGAGGAUAGUAAGAGAUCUUGAAACUAAGUUUAAGGUUUUAAAAGAAUAUCAUGAUACACUUUGAAAAGAGCUCAAAGGAAUUUGGGCCACAUACAUUCGGAUCAAGGAAAGGUAUUUGUAGAAGGAUUUAUACUAGGAUGCAAAAGACUUUUUGAGCUCUUGCACAAAAUCUCAACUACAAUCUAAAGUUAGGUAGAGAGAUGGAUUACAUCUUACUUAUUUACCUUCAAUAUAUUUUCAAUCGGUAAUUGAUUUGGUAGCUAUGCCAUCAGGACUUUGAGAUACGAAAUAUUUGGUUUUGGCAAGAGAAAAUUUAUCAAAUUAUGUUGAAGGGAGGGCUUUGAGAACCAAGACUACAAAGGUAAUAUGCCGAUUUAUAUUGGAAGACAUCUUUAGCAGAUAUAAUAGCAUUGGGAGGAUAAGAGCUGAUAGAGGAGAAUUGGAUGCCAUUCAAGCAAGAGAAUUUUUUAAUAGGUACAAAGUUCAAUUGAAGCUGACUACUUUUUAUAAUCCUAAAGCCAAUGAAAAGAAUGAGAGGGGUCAUCCUCCUUUCAUCUAUGCAUUGAUUAAGGCAUAUAAGAGUAAGUCAAUUCAAUGGCCUAAACUGCUUCCGUUUGCUUUAUGGGCUGAUAGAACUACUCAUAGUACUAUCAUUGGUUAUAUGCCCAUGAAGUUAAUGUUAGGACAAAAACUUAUCACGCUAGCUGAAGAAACCUAUCCUACAUGGAUGUUUUUAACUUGGAAAGGUGAUAUAAAUAAAAAAAAGAUUAUUGGAGCUUCAAAUCCAAUAAUUGGGUAGGUUACUUAAAAACCUACAAAUUAUAACUGAGAGGUUAAAGAAAGUAAGAUUGAAAAAUAAAGAAAGAUUUGAUAAGACUCAUAGGUUGAGAUCUAAGCCGAUAGAGAUUGGAGACUAGGUUCUAAUUUAUGAUAGCAGCCUUGAGCAUCAGCAUAAUACUAUAAAGAAAUUCGAAAAAAAAUAGUUGGAACCAUAUGUGGUGGUUAAAGUCCAUGAUAAUGCCACAUAUAUCUUACAUGAAUAAGAUGGAACUAUCAUAAGGAUUCCAAUAGCAAAGAAGAGGGUCAAGACUUUCAAGAGAAGAGAUGGGUGGUUUCAAAUAAAAGACCUUCAAGAAUUCUUACCUCAAUAUUUAGACUAAGAAAAUGAAGAAGAAGAGCCUAUGAGGGAUGCAAAGAAAUCUCAAGAGGAUGAAGAAGAGUAACACAUAGCACAUACUAGAAGAUGUGUAGGUUUGGAGGAGGUGGAUGUCGUACUAUAAUUGCUUAUAAUAUAAAAAAAUUAAUGAAGACAUAUAAUAUGUUUUUAAUUCUUUAUGUAGAUCAAACUAGUUAAUAAAUAAAUUUAAAUAGAAUUGAUAUAGAAAAAUUUAUUUGGAGAUUUAUUUAUUUUAAUUAAAGUGUUUAUAUUAUGUAGGAUUUAGAUAUUUAGUAUAAAACUUAAGGGAAGGUUGGAGUCUAGAGAUGAAAGUCUAAACUAUUAGGAGGCUUAUUGGAAGGGAUGAAAGCAAGGCAUGGUUGGAUGAAGGCAAGGAAUAGAGAUCUUCAUUCCUAUUGGUCGAAGGCCAUGGCCAAUGGACUUCAAGGAGACUACCUGAGGCGUUAUUAGGGAUUAGGAUUUCUCUUUCGAAUUAGCUUGUGCUUUGGAGGCUAGGGUCAGUAAGUUAAAGAUUUUGGAUAUAAUUUUGGUGAAGAGUUUGUGUGAUUUCAAGUUUUUGUGAAGGAGAUAUAGGUGUUCAAAGUUAAGGUGGAAAAUUUGUACCUACUAACACUCUUUGAAGCAUAACAUAUGUGUACAGAAAGCAAUGAAAGAUUGGCAACUGGAAUUGGAGAGAACAUAUUUUUGGCUACAUUUUACAUAUACUAUUUGAUGAAUUUUAAGUCUAGGUGAAGGUGUUAUAGGGCAUUGAAGACAUCACAUGUAAUUCAAAGGCAGUAAGUGAGUGAUUUUGUUGAUAGUAAUAUUUGGAGUCAUAUCUUGAGUUUUUUGGACGAAUUUUUAGCUCAAAAUUUCCAUAAAUGUGAGUUAUUAAAUUGAAAAGCUAUAAGUCAAAGUUUUAUGGUAUAAAAAUACUUUUUUUGUGAGAUAUGAAGAAAAUAGCAUGUGGAUGUAUGUAAGCUAGGGUUUAAAGCUACAGUUAGGAUUUUGGUGAUAUCUCAAGAUUCGUAAUGAAUUUGUGGUUGAAUUUUUUUGUUGUAGGUUUUGAUAGUAUAACAAUACUUUAUAUAAAAUUUUAGAUUAUUAAAGUUUGAGAUUAUGAGUAAUUGAAGUUUGAGAAACAUUGCUCAUAAGGAUAUACAAGGUUUUAAGAUACUUUAUUAUAUAUUUGGAUAUUUUUUUUGUACUUGGGCUUAUGUAUAGAUAUAAUUGCCCUAAAAGAGAAUCUAUUAUAUACAUAAACUUGGUACUUUUAUCUCUUAGACUUCAUUGAACAUUGAGUGGAUGCUAGAAGCCCAGCAUUUUUUAGAGCCAAAUACUCUCUACCGUGCCAUUGACAACUAGAAUUGAUCAAAGUACUUUUUCAGCUAUAUUUUACUAAAAGUGUAUAUUGAUAUUUUCUUAAAACCUUAAACUUAGAUUCAAAAUCUCCUAAUAUCCUCAAUGGGAUUUUAUCACCUCUUUUUGGCCGCUUCCAUAGGAAUCCAUUCCUAAACAAUUAACCAUAGGAUUGAUUUCUAAUAUCUUUGAAUGAUUUAUCUAUCCAUCCUUCUUGUUUCUUCAUUGUACUUAAAUAAAUUCUAAUAUCCUUCAAUCUGCCUUCAUACAAACCUUCAUAGAAUUUUUGAAUCUUAUUACCAAAAUCCAUUCCACUAGUAGCAAAUGAAUUCUAAUAACUCUUUUUUUCUUGAUCUUCACCUCUUUCAUAUACCAUCAUUUUUUCUUCAAAGGUAUAUCUUACUCUAGACAACAUGUCCACCACCAAGUUUUUUUUGCUAGUAAUAUGUACUAAAACAUGAUUCAAUGUUCUUAUGUAGGCUAUCCAUCCUAACAUGGUAAUGUCUGGAGUAGUAUAAUUAAUUAUCAUUCCAAGUAAUGGCAAAAAAUAUCUUUCCAAAACCAUACAUGCUCCAAUCAAAUAAUUCCUCUCAGCCUUUAAAGUUGUAAGUGCUCUCCAAAGCUCUCUUUUAACUUGUGGAUAAGUUCUUUGCCUCUUUGUAAGAAUCCUGGCUCUAAACCUUAUAGCAAACCUUCUCCUUUCUACAUCAUUUUUUCCAAUAGCCCUUCCAAUUGCUAUGGGGCUUGUAUCCACUAUUACAACUUCUGAUUUUCUACAUUGAUAAUCCACUUGUCUAAGCACAGGUGGUGAACUCAACAUCUUUUUAAGAUUUUCUAUAGCUACUUUUUGUUUCUCUUUCCAAACAAAUCUCUUACUUUUCUUUAAUAACUUAUAUAGUGGCUUUGCAAUAUGGACAAAGUAAAACACCUAAAUGUGAUAGAAUACACAUGCUCUUAAAAACCUUCUGGCUUCUAUAACAUUUUUAGAAGCCUUCAUUCUAGAUAUAGCAUCAAUUUUAUCAAGGUUUGAUUUCCUACCAUACUUGUCAUACAUGUGUUCCACCACUAGAAUCUCAUCAACUCCAAAGCUUAAUUUCUCCAAAGAUAACGUGAGAUUGAUUGACUCCAAUCUCUCCAAUAUUUGAGCCACAUCUUCAAUAUGCCUCUUAACCAACUUUCUAUGACCUUCAACCUCCAUAAUCUCAUUCUUGUCUUUUUCUUUAUCUCUUUUUAUAGGUAUAUCAUCUAAAAAUGAUAUAGUUUUUUUAGGUAUAAAUUCUUUCAAUAUUUGGUUCAUAACAUUUUGUAUAUGAGCCAUUGAGUUGGUUGGACCUUGAGGUAAGGUAUAUAUCCUCAUUAAACCCAAAAGAGUCUUCACGGUAGUUAAGUCCCUACUCUCUUUAGCUAAUUGAAAUUGGUCCUAUCUAAAAUAUAAGUCUCUAAUAGAAUAGAUGGCAUGACUUACAAAUUGUUCACCCACUUCAUCUACUACAAAACUUGUUUUCAUGUUUUGAAUAGAUAUUCUAUUUACAGGUUGCAUAUCCUAAAUAAAUCUUAAUACCCCUGACUUCUUAGGUAUUGUGAAUCAUCUAUUAGAAUAGGGAGCAAUUGAAGGUUCUAAAAUAUCCAUCUUCACCUUCUCUUUUAGUAGUUCUAUUAACUUUGGAAGUAAAGCUCUAAGCACAGGUAUAGGCUUUAAAUUCCAUAGAACAUGUGGUAUAGUAAAGAUUACCAUAAGUAUUACAACAUUAGGAUUCACACAUCCAAUUUCAUUAGGAAUUAAGGCAAAUGCCUUACCAUGCUUAAUAAGCAAUUCUUGAAAUAUAAUUUUUUCCAUUGAUGUCAAGAAAUCACCCCCUCCAAUCUUCAAUUUAGCCAAUGAUUCUUGAGUAAAUUGAUGUCCAAUUCCACAUCCUUGUCUUUGACUUGGCUCUUUAAUUGCUUGAUUGAUAUAUUCCAUAGUAUCAACUGGUAAUUGGGUAGCUAUAGGCUUUAUUUUUCUUGCAAAGCUUUAUGUUUAGUUUGUACUCUAUCCUUAUAUUUCAAUGUAUAGCUUGUAGCAAGCCCACCAAUUACUACUAACUUUUUUAAUUCUUUAUAAGUCUCUUUUGAAUAUAUUUCUACUAUAACAUUUCCAUCUAUGCUUAUAGCUAAAUUCUCCAAAACUUUUAUCAAAUCAUCUUCCAAACCUAUUUCUUCUAUUACUCCAACUAUGGCUUCAUCACUUCAAACUAAACCCACUCUUUUAAAGUUUUUCUCUUGUUUCUUCAUCCUUCUUCUUUGUAGAGAAUCUAAAUCUUUAAUCUUUUGAAUACUCACAAAUCCAUUACUAGUCAAGUUUAAUAAUCCAAAACUCAUAUUAUCUACAAUGAGGUUUGCAGAUGACUUAUUUGCAUCCAUGUGACUCCAUUCUACAAGGAUACUUUCUAGGAAUCGACAAAGUUGUUUUCUGGCUCCAAAGGCAUCCAUCUUAAUUAUUCUCUAUGCCUCUCAUGAAUAGGUUUCACAGUAAUAAACUGCAUAGCUUUUCUUCUAUCCCAACUACAAAUCUUGGCAUAAUGUGAUCCAUCAUUUAGGACUCUAGUUUCCAUUCUAGUAGCUGUAAUAUAUGAUUGACUAAGUAUUACGAGAUAUGUAGUAGAAUUUUACACAAAGAAAUUUUGUUCCACUUUCACAUCUCCAAUCGUAGUCAUCACAGCUAGGCAAACUCCAUAUAAAUCACCUUGAUGGUUGUUUGCGGCUCUAAUUACCUAACCAUGAUUGGUAUCAACUGACUUUUUAUUUUUCUCAUAUAUCCAAUGUCGUAUUAUUAUUGUUUACUAUAUGUAAAAAUUAAUUAAAACAUAUAUAAAUUUUUAAAUCUUGAUGUAGAUUAAAAUGGUCAGUAAAUAAAUUUAAAGAGAAUUGAUAUAAGGAAAUUUAUUUGGAGAUUUAUUUAUUUUGAUGAUAGUGUUUAUAUUAAGUUAGAUUUAGAUAUUUAGUAUAAAACUUAAGAGAAGGUUGGAGUCUACAGAUGAAAGUCUAAACUAUUAGGAAGCUUAUUAGGAGAGAUUAAAGCAAGAUAUGGUUGGAUGAAGGCAAGGAAUAGAGAUCUUCAUUCCUAUUGGUCGAAGGCCAUGUCCAAUAGGCUUCAAGGAGGCUGCCCGAUGCCUAAUUAGGAAUUAGGAUUUCUCUUUUGAAUUCAUUCGAGCUUUGGAAGCUAAGGUCAGCAAGUUUAGGAUUUUGGAUAUAAUUUCAAUGAAUAGUUUGUAUGAUUUCGAGUUUUUAUGAAGGAGAUAUAGGUGUUCAAAGUUAAGGUGGAAAAUUUGUAUUUAUUGUCACUCUUUGAAGCAUAACAUAUGCGUACACAUAGCAAUGAAAGAUCGGAAAUUGGAGUGGAAGAGAACACGUUUUUAGUCAUAUUUAUUAUAUAUUAAUUGAUGAAUUUUAACUCUAGAUGAAGGAGUUAUAGGGCAAUGAAGAUAGCACAUGUAAUUCAAAGGCAGUAAGUGAGUCAUUUUGUUGAUAGUAAUGUUUGGAGCCAUAUUUUGAAUUUUUGGACGAAUUUUUGGCUCAAAAUUUCCAUAAGUAUGAAUCAUUAAGUUAAAAACCUAUGGACCAAAGUUUCGUAGUAUUUAAAUACUUAUUUUGUGAGAUAUAAAGAAAUUAGUACAUGGAUGUAUGUAAGCUAGGGUUUAAAGCUAUUGUUAGGGUUUUGGUGAUAUCUCAAGUUGUGUAAAGAAUUUGCAUUUGAAUUUUUUUGUAAUAGUUUUUUGAAAGCAUAUUAGUUCUUCAUGUAAAAUUUAAGAUUGUUUGGAUAGUCUAGUCGUGAGAUAUAACCUAUUGAAGUUUAGGAAACAUCUUUGAUAAAGAUAUAUAAGGUUUUAAGAUACUUUAUCAUAUAUUUGGGUGUUUUUUUGGUAUUUGGACUUAUGUUUUGAUGUAAUUGCCCUGAAAGAAAAUAUAUUAUAUAUACAAACUUUGUACUUUUAUAUCUUAGACUUGAUUGAACAUUUAGUGGCAGCCAAAAGUUCAGUACUUUUUUGAGGCAAACUCUCUCUACUCUGACAUAUUGGUCCUUCCACUGAGAGAGCCUUAAGGCACUAAAUAUCUCAAUAAGUUAAGAUGGGGGAUCAAAUCCUUGGGUUUGCAUUACUAGGUGAGAUGGGUGUCCAUGAUUUAUUUAGGAUAUUUGUCCAAUUUAUGGAAAAAAGGCAACAGGUGCAUGAGAAAGUUAGGAAUACCACCAAAGCUUUACAAGUAGUCAUAGAUAAAAUUAAAAGGUUUUAUGGGAGGAACAUUACUAAGUUCUUUAAAAUUUAUACAUGUGAAAUAAAAGUGCAUUAGGUUUUAGAAAUGAAGAUGAUUACCACCUUUGAUUUGGCAGUGGUACCUGAAAUCAGAGAAAGAGUAUAAGAGUUGUAUAUUGAAACUAUAUUAUAGAAGAAAUUUGAAGAAGUCUUGAAAGAUGAAUUUUUUGAAGAAGAUUCAAAAAGAAUGAAAAAACAGACUUUUUUGGAGUAGAUUGAGCAAAGGUCAGGGAAUCAAUUGGCUCCAAAUGAAUUAAUUAGAAAAUUUGAGACCAAGUUUGGACAAUUACCACAAAAAGAGAGGUAGCUCUUAGAAACAAGGAAAAUUGGAUUAUUUUUACAAGCAGCUGAUGAAUAUUUCGAAGACAAGCUUAUCUUUUAUCUAGCAGAUAAGACAUCUGAGAGUGGUUUUAUAAAUAAUUCGAAGCUAGUAAAAGAGAUAGUGGAACUUUUGGCUAAACAUUAGAAGAUUAAGACUCGUGGUUUAAUAUUGAGAUUGAAACCAAUGCUUACAUCUCAAAAUCAAAGACCACAUCAAAAGCUGAAUAUGAUUGUUAAAGAUAGUACUCUUGAAGAAUUGAUCAAGGACAUACAAGAUUUGAAGGUAGAAAUGAUUGAGUUGAAGAAAUUUCAAAUAGUAAAUUCUUUAAAGACAAUUGAAGGUUCAAAGAGAUUUGUAGAGAGAUGUAUGUGGUGUGACAAUCCAAACCACAAGCAUGGUAAAUGUGACACUACAAAGGUGCAAUUAAGGAUGGUAUUGUAUAUUUCAAAGAAGGCAUAAUAAGACUCACAGGGUCAGAUGAGCCUUUAAAGAAAAAUUUUGGGAUAGGUGGCAUGAAAAAAUUGGUAGAAGAGCGAAUAUCAAAGAAUAAUGCUAUACAAGGAGAAGGAGCUGAGUCUUACUCUAUUACAGUUGAACAAAAAGUACUUAAAGAUAGUUUCCUACUAACUAUAGAAGUUAUGAUCAGGAGAGCUCAAGCUAUCAAAAAAAUGAGUGGAUGGAAUAAUCCAGUUGAUGCUAUUAGUAUUAAAGCAUAUUUAUGUAGAGACAAACAUGAUGAUGAUUUACAUGAUGCCAUGGUUGAAGAAAAAAGCAGUAGAGCUAUUCAUGAGGAGGAUGUUAUUGAGCCUAAAAACAAGAGGAGGUCUCUAAGAAACAAAAAAGCUUUUAAGGAGCAAAAAUCGGAGAAAAUUCCUUCUUCUACUAAUCCUGGUGGUACACCAUUAAGAAAAGAGUGGUAGGAGAAGAGCAAAGAAAAGGAGAAAGAUGAUGCAAGCAAAUCUAAAGAUAAAAAUUCUACUUAUAAACUUCAAUUUGACAUUGAAACAUCUACAGAUAUGAAGAGCAUUUUAAAAGAGAAGAUCUUAGAUGAAAAAAUUGAAUUCACUCUAAGAGAGGCUCUUGAUAUAGCUUAAAAGGAUUUCCAUGAGUUGAUCAUCAAUGUGGUAAAAAAGAAGAAGAAAAUGACAACUGAAGCUAUUAUGGUAGAGGCAUUGGAUACUCGGGUAAUUAUGGAUGAGGAAGAAGAGAUAAUGCAGGUAGUUGCAUAAUUUGUAAUGCGAGAAGCUAGAAUUAAGAUUGUUAUGGAAAAUGAGGCUUUAAAUAAAUAUGAAAAAGCUAUAGAAGAGUAUCAAAUGAAAUGUGCAUAUAUGAAAAUUAUUGAGAUAAAGAAGAAUGCACAAGAAGCAUGUAUGAACACUUGUUCUAAAUGUGAUAAUGAUGGAAUGAGAAGUAGUAGCUAUUCAGUUCCUUAUUGGACUAGAACUACUACGGAGAUAUAUGUGAGGUUGGGGACUCUAAUGAUCCAAUUUUGGCCUUAGUCGAUCAUGGAUCUAAAAUCAAUACCAUGUCAAGGCAGUGUCAGGGUAGAGACAAUUUGCCUCAAGAAAGCGCUAGGCUUCUAGCUGCCAUUAAAUAGUUAAUCAAGUCUAAGAUAGAAAAAAUCAUGUUUAUAUAUAUAAUAUUUUUCUAUUCUAGGCAAUUACAUCAAACAUUAGUCCAAGUACCAAGAAAACACCCAAAUGUAUGAUAAAAUAUCUUAAAAUCUUAUAUAUCAUUAUGAUAGAUGUUUCUUAAACUUCAAUAGCUCAUAUCUCACGAUUGGACCGUGUAAAAAAUCCUUACUUUUACAUAAAGUACUGAUAUUCUUUCAAAAACUACUACAAAAUAAUUCAACUCCAAAUUCAUUACGGAACUUGAGAUAUCACUAAAACCCUAUUAGUAGCUUUAAGCCCUAACUUACGUACACCCACAUGCUAUUUUCUUCAUAUCUUACAAAAUAAAUACUCCUAUACCAUGAAACUUUGACCUAUAGCUUUUUAACUUAAUAACUCACACUUAUGGAAAUUUUGAGCUAAAAAUUCGUCCAAAAAAUGAAGAUAUGGUUCCAAACAAUACUAUCAAUAAAAUGACUCACUUACUGUGUUUGAAUUACAUGUGCUCUCUUCAUUGCCCUAUAAUUCCUUCAUCCAGACUUGAAAUUUAUUAAUCAAUAUAUGAAAAGUAUAGCCAUAAAUGUGUUCUCUCCAACUCCAAUUGCUGAUCUUUCAUUGCUCUCUGUACGCAUAUGUUAUGCUUCAAAGAGUGAUAGUAGGUACAAAUUUUCCACCUUAACUUUGAACAUCUAUAUCUCCUUCACAAAAACUCGAAAUCAUACAAACUCUUCACUGAAAUUAUAUCCAAAAUCUUGAACUUGCUGAUCCUAGCCUCCAAAGCUCAAAUUAAUUUGAAAGAGAAAUCCUAAUCCCUAAUAAGGCCUCGAGCAGCCUCCUUGAAGCCCCUUAGCUAUGGCCUUCGACCAAUAGGAAUGAAGAUCUCCAUUCCUUGGCUUCAUCCAACCAUAUCUUGCUUUAAUCUCUUCUAUUAAACCUCCUAAUAGUUUAGACUUUCAUCUCUAGAUUCCAACCUUCCCUUAAGUUUUAUACUAAAUAUCUAAAUCCUAUAUAAUAUAAACACUAUAAUCAAAAUUAAUAAAUCUCUAAAUAAAUUUUUCUAUAUCAAUUCUCUUUAAAUUUAUUUACUAGCCUUUCUAAUCUACAUAGAGACUUAAAAACAUAUUAUAUGUCUUAAUUAAUUUUUACAUAUUAUAAGCAAUUAUAGUAUGACAUCCACCUCCUCCAAACCUGCGCAUCUUCCAAUAUGUGCCAUGUAUUAUUCCUCUUCAUCCUCUUGAGAUUUCUUUGCAUCCCUCAUAGGCUCUUCUUCUUUAUCUUCUUGGUCUAAAUAUUGAAGUAAGAAUUCUUGAAGGUCUUCUAUUUGAAACCACCCAUCUCUUCUCUUAAAAGCCUUGACCCUCUUCCUUGCUAUUGGAAUCCUUAUGAUAGUUCCAUCUUACUCACGUAAGAUAUAUGUGGCAUUAUCAUGGACUUUAACCACGACAUAUGGUUCCAACUAUUUUUUUUCGAAUUUCUUUAUAGUAUUAUGCUGAUGCUCAAGGUUGCUAUCAUAAAUUAGAACCUAGUCUCUACUUUCUAUAGGCUUAGACCUCAACCUAUGAGUCUUAUCAAAUCUUUCUUUAUUUUUCAAUCUUACUUUCUUUAUUUUUUAAUCUUACUUUUUUUAACCUCUCAACUAUAAUUUAUAGGUUUUUAAAUAACCUACCCAAUUAUUAGAUUCGAAGCUCCAAUAAUCUUUUUUUUUUAUUUAUAUUAUCUUUUCUUAGAUAAAAACAUCCAUGUAGGAUAGGUUUCUUUAGCUAGCAUCAUAGGUUUUUGUCCUAACAUUAACUUCAUGGACAUAUAACCAAUGAUAGUACUAUGAGUAGUUCUAUCAGCCCAUAAAGUAAACGGAAGCAGUUUAGGCCAUUGAAUUGAUUUACCCUUACAUACCUUAAUCAAUGCAUAAAUGAAAGGAGGAUGACCCCUUUCAUUCUUUUCAUUGGCUUUAGGAUUAUAAAAAGUAGUCAGCUUCAAUUGAACUUUGUACCUAUUGAAAAAUUCUCUUGCUUGAAUAGCAUCCAAUUCUCCUCUAUCAACUCUCAUCCUCCCAAUGCUGCUAUAUCUGCUAAAGACGUCUUCCAAUAUAAAUUGGUAUAUUGCCUUUGUAGUCUUGGUUCUCAAAGCCCUCCCUUCAAUAUAAUUUGACAACUUUUCUCUUGCCAAAACUAAAUAUUUCAUACUCCAAAGUCCUGAUGGCAUAGCUACCAAAUCAAUUACCGAUUGAAAAUAUAUUGAAGGUAAAUAAGUAGGAUGUAAUCCAUCUCUGUACCUUACUUUAGAUUGUAGUUGACAUUCUGUGCAGGAGCUCACAAAGUCUUCUACAUCCUAGUAUAAAUCCUUUCACCAAUACAUUUCCUUGAUCUUGGUAUAUGUAGCCCAAACUCCUCUAUGCCCUGCCUAAAGUGUAUCAUGAUAUUCUUUUAAAACCUUAAACUUAGUUUCAAGAUCUCCUACUAUCCUCAAUGGGAUUUUAUCACCUCUUUUUGGCCUCUUCUAUAGGAAUCCAUUCCUAAGCAAAUAACCAUAGGAUUGAUGUCUAAUAUCUUUGAAGGUUUUAUCUAUCUACCUUUCUUAUUUUUUCAUUAUACUUAAAUAAAUUUCAAUAUCCUUCAAUCUUCCUUCAUAUAAACCUUCAUAGAAUUUUUGAACCUUAUCACCAAAAUCCAUUCCACUAGUAGCAAAUGAAUUUCUAUAACUCUUCUCUUCUUGAUCUUCACCUCCUUCGUGUACCAUCAUUUCUUCUUCAAAGGUAUAUCUUACUCUAGACAACAUAUCCGCCACCAAAUUUUCUUUGAUAGUAAUAUGUAUUAAAAUAGGAUUCAAUAUUUUUUUGUAGGCUAUCCAUCUUUAUAUGGCAAUGUCUGGAGUAGUAUAGUCAAUUAUCAUUCCAAGUAAUGGCAAAAAAUCUCUUUCCAAAACCAUACUUGUUCUAAUGAAAGCAAUUAUAGUACGACAACAGUGCUGUUGAAUUCUUUACUAUUACAAAUCAAAAAAGGUCAUAUACUCUCUACUAGCCUUUGUUAUUGUUUUACUAUACCUAUACACUUAGAAGUCACAAAACUAGAGUGUGAUGCAUUACUGGACUCAAGAGCCCCUGCAUGUUUUAUUGAUAAAGAAUUUUUUAGAUCAUACAAAAUCUGUAUGGUCAAAAAAUCCAAAAACUGUUUAUAUAGAAGUAAUAGAUGGCUAACCUUUAUUCUCUGGAGACGUCACUUAUGAGACAAUUGUAUUAGAAAUAACCUUUGACAAUUAUAGCAAUCAAUUAGUAUUCAAUGUCAUUUGAUCACCAUCAAGUCCAAUCAUUUGAGGACUCUCAUGGCUUGAAAAAUACAAUCCAUGGAUAGAUUGGAUAUCCUCAAAGUUAGAAUUUUUUCUAAUAGAUUAUAGAAUUUUCAGAUCUAUGAAAAAACUUCUAAUACUUAACAAGCCAAGACUUAAAUAAUAUUUAUUUAUUGAAGCUAAAGCAUUUAUGAAGGCGACCAAAUAAGGCACUGCAUUUUUUGUCUAUACAAAUCCAUGAUUGGAAUAUGUGGUUGCUACAACAACAAUUUCAAAGGCGUGAAGAGACAAUAAGAUUGUGUAUUAAUAAUAUCUAUUAUUAUAUUGUAUCGGAUUGUGGGCCAUAAUUUGUAUCAAGAUUUUGAAAGGUAUUCUUUAAGAUUCUUAAGAUUUACGUCAACCUUUCUUCUAUCUUCCAUCCUCAAACUGAUGGCUAAAUGGAACAAGUCAACUAAAUUCUUGAGCAAUAUUUGAAGUGCACAAUCAUCUAUCAACAAGACUACUAGACUUCUUACUUAUUGUUGGAAAAGUUUGCAUAUAAUAAUAUAAUCCAUGCAUCUACACAAUAAAUAUUAUUCUACUCAAAUUACGAUCAUUAUUCAAAGUUGAAUAUGAUAGAACCUUUAAAGUCAGCAAAUCCAGCACUAGAGGAAUUUGCUACGAAGAUGAUCGAACUUCAAGCAACUAUGAAGACUCAUCUCGAAAGGAUUCAAUAACAUUAUAAGCUAGUAGCAGAUGAAUUGAGGAAGGAACAUCCUCUAUUCUAAAUUGGUGACAAAGUAUGGCGUCUUUGGUAUAAUAUAAAAACUAACAAGCUAUGUGAUAAGUUGGACUACUGAAAGUUGGGACCAUUCAUGAUUCAGAAAUAAAUCAAUAAUUUAAUUUAUCACUUGAAAUUACCUUUAUCCAUGAAGAUUCAUCGAGUCUUUCAAGUUUCACUAUUAAAAAGGUAUAAAGAAUCAAAUAUACAAAGUUAAAAACAACCACCACUUCUUAUGGUUGAAAUCAAUGAUCAUAUUGAAUUUGAGGAAGAAGAGGUAUUAGAUUCAAAGAUAAGAUAUGGAAGGCUUGAAUAUGUAGUCCAUUAGCUUAGAUAUGAUAUCAACAAUUGUACAUGUGAAUUAGCUGUCAACCUUAUAAAUGUACAAAUAAAGAUUCAAAAGUUCUAUCAAUGACAUUCAUCCAAACCAAAAGCAACAAAAUGAGGAACAAUAGCUUAGUAAAAUAACUUCAUCAUGAAGAUUUUUAGUUCUUGGCUUCAUAAAGAAGGAAAAGAAGCAGCCUUCGAAAAGGUAAUUUUUUCAAAUAUUUAGAACAAUAUAAGUCAGUAGUUUGAAUUCAUGACCAUAGUCUAUUUAUAUUCUUUUGGUCUUGUCUACUUUAUGUGAUAUGGAUAGUCAACAGAUAGAUACCUUGCCAAUCAUACCAUUUCAACCAAGUAGCUUGUGAAGAUAACUUCAAGAUGAAGAGCCGCCUGAACCAUGAAGACAUCAAAAGAUACCUAGUAACAAGUCAUUGGUAAUUGUAUUUGAGGUAGAACUUCUUAAUGAAGGAUACCUAGAAUAAAUAUUUGUAGGACAAUUCUAUAAUGAAGAUAUCAAAGUUCAUGUUUGAUUACAAAUAGAAGACUUAGAGUACUAUUGAUGGCUACAAGGGCCUAUAAAUCAUUUGCUUCAAGAAAAACAACUAGAAUAUAUACUACACACCAUGUAAUAGAUCUUCAACUUCUUAUGCAUAUACUGAUGUAUAGCAACAUUGUUUCUAGGAGACCUCAAAGCCAAAAGAGGAGGUGAUGUCACAGACAUAUAAUUGAAGAGGAUUUGAGAAGGUUCUAAGAAGAUUCUUGUAGAUCUUAGAAGAUUCCAAAAGAUUCUAGUAGAUUUUAAGAAGGUUCUUGUAGAUCCUAGAAGGUUCAAAAAGAUUUUAGAAGCUUCCAAUAGAUUCUAAGAAAGUUCUAGAAGGUUAUAGAAGAUCUUCAAAGGUUCUAAGAGGCUUUAGAUGAUUUAGGAAGUUUCCAAAGAAGAAUCUUAAGCUUGCUUUAUUUUCAAGCUUCAUGAAAACUUCUUGAUAAGCUUCCUAAGACAUAAUAUAUAUAGGAGUCAAGGCUGAGGAAAUCUUUAGUUUCAACAAUUCACUUCUUAUGGUCUAGCUAGGACCUUUUUGCCUUAUAUCUAAUUAUUGUUCUAAAGUCAUUUUAAUUCUAUUUCUUUGUCUUGAAUCCUUAUCUUGUAUAUAGUUCCUAAUACCUGAUGGUAUAGCUAUCAAAUUAAUUUUUUAUUGAAAAUAUAUAAAAGGUGGAUAAAUAGGAUGUAAUCCAUUUCUAUACCUAAUCUUAAAUUGUAAUUGACAUUCUAUGCAUGAGCCCAUUAAAUCUUCUACAUCCUUAUAUAAGCCCUUCUACUAAUAUCUUGCUUUGAUCUUGGUAUAUAUGGCCUAAACUCUCUUAUGUCCUAUCUAAAAUAUAUCAUGAUAUUCUUUUAAAACUUUUAAUUUAAUUUCAAGGUCUCUUACUACCUACAAUAGAAUUUCUUUACUUAUUUUUAUUCUCUUCUAUAAAAAUCAAUCUAUAAGGAGAUAACCAUAAGAUUGGUGUCUAAUAUCUUUGAAGAUUUUAUCUAUUCAUUUUUUUACUUCUUUAUUAUACUCAAAUAAAUUCUACUAUCUUUCAAUUUGCCUUCAUACAAACCUUCAUAGAAAUUUUGAAUCUUAUCACUAAAAUUUAUUCUAUCAAAAGUAAAAAAAAAAAAAUUGUAGCUCUUUUCUUCUUGAUCUUCACUUCUUUCAUGUGUCAUCAUUUCCUCUUCAAAGAUAUAUCUAGCUCUAGACAACAUAUCUCCUACCAAAUUUUCUUUACCAAUAAUAUGUAUUAAAAUAAGAUUCAAUGUUUUUAUGUAGGCUAUCCAUUUUAAUAUGGCAAUGGCUAGAGUAAUGCAAUUAAUUAAUAUUUCAAGUAAUAGCAUAUAAUUUAUUUUCAAAACCAUACUUGCUUUAAUCAAAUAAUUUUUUUUGGCCUUUUAAGUUGUGAGUACUAUCCAAAGCUCUCUUUUAACUUGUAGAUAAGUCUUUUGCUUUUUUGUAAGAAUCUUGGUUCCAAACCUUAUAACAAAUCUUAUCUCUCUUACAUCAUCUUGUCCAAUAGCUCAUCCAAUUGCUAUAGGACUUAUAGCUUUUAUUACAAAUACUGAUCUUGCAUAUUAAUAAUCUACUUGUCUCAAGACAAGAGAUGAAUUCAACAUCUUUUUAAGAUUUUUCAUAGCUAUCUCUUGUUCUUAUUUCCAAAAAAAUCCUUUAUCCUUCUUUAAUAACUUAUAUAGUAGCUUUGAGAUAUAGACAAAGUGAAGCACUCAAAUAUGAUAGAAUAUAUAUGCUCUUAAAAAUCUUCUAGUUUUUGGAUAUGAUCAAUUUUAAUUGACUAAAAUAAAAUAAAUGGCAUGACUUACAAAUUAUUAAGCUACUUCAUCUACUAUAAGACUUGAUUCCAUAUUUUAAAUAGUUACUUUAUUUACUGGUUCCAUAUCCUGAAUGAACCUAAUGCCUCUGAUUUCUUAGAUACUAAGAACUAUCUAUUAAAAUAGGAAGCAAUUGAAGGUUCUAAAAUACCCAUCUUCACCUUUUCUUUUAAUAAUUCUAUCAAUUUUGGAAGCAAAACUUUAAGUAUAGGUAUAGGCUUUAAAUCUCAUGGAACAUGUCGCAAUAUAAAGAUUACCAUAGGUAUUACAAUGCUAGGAUCCACACAUCUAAUUUCAUUAGAAGUUAAGGCAAAUGCCUUACCAUUUUCAAUAAACAUUUUUUAAAAUAUAUUUACCUCUAUUAAUGUUAAGAAAUCACCCUCUCCAAUCUUCAACUUAGAUAAUGAUUCUUAAGUAAAUUGAUAUUUAAUUAUGUACCUCUCUCUUAAACUUAAUCCUUUAAUUGCCUCCUUGAUAUAUUCCAUAGUGUCAAUUGAUAACUAAGUAGCUAUAGGUUUUUCCUUUCUUGCCACAAUUUUAUAUUUAAUUUGAAUUCUAGUCUCAUCUUUCAAUCUAUAGCUUAUAGAAAUUCCAACAUUUGCCACCAUCUCUUUUAAUUCUUCAUAAGUUCUUUUUGAGUAUAUUUCUAUUACAGCAUCUCUAUCCAUGCUUAUAGCUAAAUUUUCUAGAAUUUUUUAUUAAAUCAUUCUCUAAACCUACUUCUUCUAUUACUCCAACUAUGGCUUCAUUAUUUAAAACUAAAUCCACUCUUUUUAAGUUUUUUUUCUUUUUUUUUCAUCCUUCAUCUUUUAUAGAAUCUAAAAUUUUAAUCCUUUGAAUAUUCACAAAUCUAUUAUUAAUCAAAUUUAAAAGUUAAAAAUUCAUAUUAACUACAUUGGAAAUUACAAAUGAUUUAUUUGCAUCCAUGUAUCCUCAUCCUAUAAGGAUGCUCUCUAAAAAUCUACAAAGUUAUUUCUUGGAUCCAAAGGCAUCUUUCUUAGUUAUUUUCUAUGUUUUUCAUAGAUAGGUUUCAUAAUAAUAAAUUGCACAACUUUUUUUUAUCCCAACUACAAAUCUUGGUAUAAUACAAACCAUCAUUUAAAACUCUAGUCUCCAUUCUAGGAGUUAUAAUAUAGGGCUCACCAAGUAUUAUUCAAUAUGUAGCAAAGGUUUUUACGAAGAAUUUUUGCUCUACUUUCAUAUCUCUAUUCUUAGUCUUUAUACCUAAACAAGCUCCAUAUAAAUCACCUUGUUGAUUGUUUACAGCUCUAAUUAUCUAACUAUGGUUGAUAUCGAUUGGCCACUUGUUCUUCUCAUAUAUCCACCUUGCUAUGAUGUUGAUUUCAGAUCCAUGAUUAAUUAAGGCCAAAAUUCGAUCUUUAGAGUCUUUCAACAUCACAUAUGUCUCUAGAGUAGCUUUAAUCUAAUAAAGAAUUGAAUAGCUAUUACCUCUAAUUUUAUCAUUAUUACAUUUAGAUUAGUAUUUAUACAUGCUUCUUCUACAAUCUUCUUUACUUCCAUAGAUUUCAAAGAUGUAAAUUUUAUUUGAUAGUUUUCUAUAAGCUCAACAUGUUUAAAUAAAGCCUCAUCUUUUAUAUCAACCUUACUUCCAAUUUCUAGUAUUACAAACUAUGUAAAUACUUGCCCUAUUUCUUCUUCUUCAUUUGUAAUUAUCUACAUAUCUAAUGUCUCUACCAUAAAAGCUUUGGUUGCAAUUUAUUUCUUCUUCUUUAUCACAUUAAUAAUCAAUUUAUAAAAAUCAUUUUUGGCUGUACAAAGACCCUCUCUUAAAGUGAAUUCAAUUUUGACAUCUAAGAUCCUCUCUUCUAAAAUAUUUUUUAUAUCUGUAGAUAUUUCAAUAACAAAUUGAAGCUUGUAAGUAUGAUUCUUACCUUAAGAUUUGCUUGAAUCAUCUUUCUUCUUAUCUUUGUCCUUCUCCUACUAUUCUUUUGGUAAUGAUGCACCACUAGGAUGAGUAGAAGAAAGUAUCUUAUUUAAUUUCUGCUCUUUAAAGGCUUCUUUGUUCCUUGGAGACCUCCUCUUAUUUUUAAGUUCAACAACAUCUUCUUAAUGAAUAGCUUUACUUCUUAUUUCUUCAACCAUAACAUCAUAAAAAUCAUCAUCAUAUUUGUUCCUUCAUCAAAAAUAUUUAAUGCUAAUAGUAUCAAUUGGAUCAUUCCAUCCAAUUAUUUUUUUGAUAGCUUUAGCUCCUUUAAUCAUGGCUUUUAUAGUUUGUAAAGAAAUAGCCUUAACUACUUUUUAUUCAAUUAUAAAAGAGUAAGGCUUAGCUUUUUUUCUUUAUAUGGCAUUAUUUUUUACAUUUGCUCCUCUACUAAUUUUUGCAUGCCGUCUUUUUGAAAAUUAUUCUUCAAAGGUUCAUCUAACCUUCUAAGUCUUAUCCUUCUUUCUUUAAAAUAUACAAUACCAUCCUUAACUGUAAUCUUAUAAUGGUUAUGCUCACUACGCUUGCGGAUUAAAUUGUUAUACUACAUACAUCUCUCUACAAAUUCUUUUGAAUCUUUCAUUAUAAUUAAUGAGCUUGCUAUCUAAUAUUUCUUCAAUUCAUUCAUUUCCAUCCCCAAAUCUUAUAUAUCCUUAAUCAAUUCUUGAUGAGUAUCAUCCUUGAUAGUAUAUAUCACCUUUUAAAGUACUAUUAAAUUUUGAAAUAUAGACAUUGACUUUAGCCUUGAUACUAAAUCAAAGAUCUUAAUCUAUUGUUACUAAACCAAAAGAUUGAAUAUCUCUUUAACUAGCCUCUUAUAAUAACUAUAAUCACUCUCAAAUAUCUUCUUUCUAAAUAAAAAAAUAAUUUAUUUUAUUUUUUUAAAAGUUAUCUUUUUAAGAAGAUAAUUAUCUUAAUUUAGUUUAAAAUUCCAAAAUUAGUUCAUUAGGAGCCAUUUGAUUUCUUGGCCUUUAUUCAAUCUACUCCAAAAAGAUUUUUUUUUUCAUUCUUUUGAAAUCUUCCUCAAAAAAAUCAUCUUUCAAGAGUUCUUUAAAAUUCUUUCUUUACAUAGCUUUAAUAUGUAACUUUUGUAUCUAUCCUCUAAUUUCUAGUAUCAUUGCCAAAUCAAAGAUGGUAAUCAUCUUCAAUUCUAAAACUUGAUGCACAUAUGCACAUAUAUGUGUAAAUCCUUAGGAACUUAGUGAUGUCACUCUCAUCAAACCUUCCAAUCUUAUCCAUCACUACUUGUAAAGCUUAGGUGGUGUUUCUAUCCUUUCAAUGCACUUAUUGCCUCUCUUUUAUAAAUUGAGCAAAUACCUUGAAUAAAUCAUAGGCACCUAUUCUACUUCGUAAAGAAAACCUUGGGAUUUGAUUUUCCAUCUUGACUUGUUGAAAAAUUUGGUGCCUUGAGGCUCUUUCAAUGGAAGCACCAAUAAAGUUUGGGUAGAGAGAAUUUGUGUCAAAAAAGCGUUGGGCUUUUGGCUAUCACUAAUUACUCAAUCAAGUCUUGAGAUAAAAAAGCAUCAAGUUAUCUUUCUAUAUAUAUAUAUAUAUAUAUAUAUAAGUAUUCCUAUAGAGGUAAUAACAUCAAUACAUAAGUUCUAAGUACUAAAGAACAUCCAAAAUAUGAUAAAAAUAUUCUAAAUCCUUAUAUAUUCAUGAGGUGAAUUUUAUCAAAACUUCAAUAGAUCAUAUCUCAUAAUCGGAGUAUCCAAACAAACUAAAAAUUUACAUGAAGUAUUGAUGUAUUUUAAAAAAAUACUACAACAAAUUUUAAUUGCAAAUUUCUUAAAAAUCUUGAGAUAUUACUUAAAUACUAACAAUAGCUUUAUAGCCUUGCUUGAAUAUAUCCAUAUGUAAUUUUUUUUAUAUCUCACAAACUAAAUAUUCAAAUAUCAUAAAAUAAUUUAUUUAUAAUUUUUCAACCUAAUAACACAUAUCUUUAGAAAUUUUGAGCCAAAACUUUGUUCAAAAACUCAAGGUGUAGUUCCAACUAUUACUAUCAAUAAAAUGAUUCACGUUCUGCCUUUGAAUUACAUGUAUUGUCUUCAAUGCUUUAUAACUCCUUUAUACAAACUCCAAAUAUAACAAUUCUUUUGUAAAGACAUAAAUUUUGAAAUCAGCCUUGUGAUUGCACUCUUGAUCUUCAAAAUCUAUUAUAUAACUCCUUGUAUUUUUAAAAGAACAACAAUAUGUCUAAAAAAGACACAUUAACUUCAAAUGGCUACAACUUCAUCACCUUAAUUCCAAACCUUCUAAACUUUAUGCAAUCCUUGCUUCUAAUUCUCAAAUGUUCUUUUUGAAGUUGCCAAAAUCCUUAUUAUGGUUGCAGAUAGCCUCUUGAGAGCCUAUAGGGCAUGGCUUUCAAUCAAUAGAGAUGAAGAUCCUCAUUCCUUAUCUUCAUCCAUCCAUACUUUGCUUUCAUCCUUCCAAAUAAGCUUCUUAGAGGUUUGUAUCUUCAUCUUUGAGUUCCAAUCUUUUCUUUAAAUUUUGUAUUAAAUAUUUAAAUCUUAUAUAAUUUAGAUACUACAAUCAAAAUAAGUAAACCUCAAAAUAAAUUUUCUUUCAUCAACUCUCUUUAAAUUAACCUAUUAAUCACUCUAAUACACAUCAAUACUUAUAAAUAUAUCAUGUGUUUUAGUCAAUUUUUACAUACUAUGAAUAAUUACAAUACAACAACAUUGAGGCCUACUUAUGCAAUUUUCGAAUAAAAAUUUAAAAAGUCGAUUGUCAUUCUUUAAAGCAAAAUCAAUUACUUGACUCAAUGUUUGAGGAUUAAGUAAAUUGACCAUCAAUUUCUUUACCUCAUAUUAUAAUCCAUAAAGAAAUUGGCUAAUGAGUGUAGUAUCAUUCCACUUGAUAUCAAUCACAAGUUGUCAAAAUUGUGAAAUAUACAAUAUUAUAGAUUGAUUAACUCCCUCAAAUAUACUAGAAUUUGUACCAUUGCACUAUUCAUUUUGACAAGCUCUAUUAUAAUAACACUUAGAAGAAAAGAGAUGUCUAAUAUUGCUAAAGUUAAGUAAAAGAAAGAACUUGAGAACAAAAAGAAUAAUAUCAAAUUUAAAAGAGGAUAAUCCACAACAUCUAAUAUGCUUAUGUCUUAUCAAGAAAAAAAGAUAAUCCAUUCUUAAUCAAGAAAAGACAAAGCUUUGAUAUUGUAAGUGUAUUCUUGUCAAUCUCUCAAAGAUAAGAACUCAAAGAAAACAAAUAUACAAGUGAGACUUUUUCAAAGAAGUAUAACAAAUAUAUAUAUAUAAAAAAAAAUAUGUAUAUUAAAAAGAAACUAGAAUUACUAUUGCCAAAAUACAAGAGAACUAGAGACUUCUUAAAACUAAACUAGAAGCAAGAAAGGAAUUGACAAGAAUGAAGAAGGCUUCAUACUUACCUCUAUAUAUAUUAUCUAUCUAGGAGCUACAUGGCAACAUUCCAUAAGACCUCCAAAACGUGUUGACUUUGCACAACACGUAUCUUGACUUAUAAGGCAAGUUUUUAAUAUGGGUGCCAUAUAGUUAGUUUUUUUCGCAAGCUACCAACAUGUGUGGCACAUGCUUAACUUGCUGACCAAGUAUCUAACCUACCAAUCAACAACAAAUACAUGUAAAGUCAAAGCAACAUCUAUAAAGCUUUUAGGAAGCUUCUUUAAAAGUUAUUAUGAAAUUAAUCUACUUUUAUCUACUUUUACCUAUUCAUAUUACUUGAAUAACAAUUACAAUAAAUAUAUGUCCGUGACAAGUUGACAAUUACAAAAUCAACUAAUAGUGAAAACUAAGUAGAUAGAAUUCUCUACCAUCAUAUUUGUAAAAGUAUACUUAGAAAAAAAAAAAUCAAAUUAUAUUAUAUUAACACCAAUAUACAACCAACAAAAGUUCUUACUAAACCAUUAAAAAGAGUGAAAUUUGAAACAUAUAGAUAAGCCUUGAGACUUAAAAGCCUAAUUACAUUGUGCAAUAGAAUAAGAAUGGUUGUCAUUUCUUACUUCUUUGCUUAGUAACCAUGUGGUGAUAACAAAGACCAUCUUACAUAUAUGGAGGUUGGCUAACCUUUAUUUAAAAAUAAUUGGUCAAAUGAUUGCUACUUUUUUCAUUUAACCAACUUAAAUAAAUUUAUCCAUAUCUCUAAUUUCUUCACCAAACUACUAUUGAAAAUGUAGCUAAUGAAUUAGAUAUUUUCGAAACAUAUAUAAAAUCUUAUAGAUGUAAUAAACUUUGGAGUAAAAAUUUUAUUCUUUUAAAUCGAUGUUUAAUAAUUUGAUAUUCAUAGUAACAUGAUUUAGUAGUAACACCUUUUAAUCCAUGUCCAAUACAAGUCCUUAAACAUUUACAUUAAAACUAUACUUACAAGAUGACAUUAUUAAACUAAAAAAAUAUGCAUGUAAGAUAAUUCCAAUUAGAAUCUAUAAAUUUCUUAUUAUAAUUUUUUAAAAACAAAGUACCAAAAUAUUAUUAUUUUAAUAUCCUCUAAGUUAAAUCCAUAUAUUAAGUAGAAACAAUUAUUCUAAUAAAUAAUGAUAAAAAUUAGACAUCUUGCAAUAAAAUUUCUUUUUAAAAAUAGAUACAUAACAUGAAAAAUAUCCCAUAAAUAGCUAACACCAUCAAAACAUUUGACCAAAUAUGCACUUUUAGAUGUGUCAAGACAAAAAGAAAUAUUUGCAAGAUUUUGGAGUAUCUAAACUAAUGUUUGUCCUCUUUGCACUAUGAGUAGGAUUUCUUUUAUUUUGUUUAGUGAAAAGAUACAUUGCAAUUUGUUUUCAUAAUAAAAACUAUACUAAUGAAAUAGUGCUAAAAAAUAACAAGAUUAAAAAAACAUAACCCUUCUUACAACCUUAAAUCCUUCUAAUUAGACUACCUCAAAGUUGUGCCAUUUAGCACAAAAACCAUUCUUUUAAAUCUACUUAACCCUCCAAUUUCCAAUGAGCUUCAUGUGCAUACACAAGCAUGCUUUCUUUCUUUCUUUCUUGAAGAAAACUUAUCUGAACAAACGUUAAUACUCUACUUGUUGAUGAAAGUGGAACUUUGACCACAUACAGGCUUGGUGAUGUACUUUGUAUAUCUCCUCACAGUUAGUCUGGUGCAAUCCAACCAUGCACAUAGAAUAUGAAUGGGGACAUGCUUCCAGCCACUCGGGUGUGCAGAAAACUUGACAAGCGAGAUUCAAGCAACGGCGACUACGACGCCGAUCACGCAAUACAAAGCAUUGUUAGUAUGUGAUAAACCAGAGAAAGAGAUCGAGUAUGUGCACACAAAAACACACAGAUCCACAGGUAUUGUCUACGGCGCCACCACCAUCCGUCAAAGCUACCAUCUCGUCGAGGAAGAAUGGUAUUUCUAAAACUAGCAAUACAACCGCUGAUGGAAACAACCGAAAGCUAUGUCAUUGGAGAGGGCGCACGAGUUCAUGGAAUACACAGUGAGAAGAGAUAAAGAAAUAAAAUAAUAUAAAAUACAAGUGUGCAUCAGCAAGACAUGGCCGAAAUCUAACAACUGUCUGCACAUGCUGUGGUGGGUUGUAUCCACGCGCUGGAGGAAGUAACUUUCCUACAUGCACAGAAAAACAUUUUCAGAUUAGAAAGCUCUUCUGUUCUAGCUAAUCUCUAGUACCAAGCUCAGACGUGUAGCCGACGAAGCCAAUAGCAGCUGGGUAUGCUAGUCACUGAUUCUGAAGCGGCCGGUGUGUCGAUUGCGAUGUAUCUCAGUUCGGCGAAGGCCUGUGUCUGGAACAUGGGAAGAGGGUCUUCUUGCACUCGUCAAUCUCUCACAGCAACUGGGCAGGGUUGUAUCCGAACGUGGAAAACGCAGCAACCGUUGUUGAACCAAAGGAUGGUAUUUUUCUCCGAGAAAAACGCCGUGGCUUAUCUGGUGUAGACGAUCCCUAAUCCGGACAUGACCGCCGCUGUGCAGGUGUUGGGGAACCACAAUGCGCAAGAGAUGCGAGAGAUGGAGGAGUGCAAGAAGUACGACUGCGAAGCUACAUGCUUCAUCGAGCAAUGAAGUCUGGGUUUUCUCCAACUUCCGCAUACACACACUUUUCUCGACGACAUCCGUUUCAAGGUACGCAUCGGGAAACUGACGAUUCUCUGCACUGGUGUUCAGACUCUCCGGAGAGGCGGCGUCAUGUUCUGAGCUCUUUUUCGAUAAGGUGCUGUUGAAGUCCAGAAUAAUGGGGUCUGGAUUAUCCUCUGGACGGCUCCGCUUCUGGUCGAAAAAAUUUCAUCCCAAAAAAGGACUUAUCUGUUGACUGAAAAUGUUUAAUUGUGGUGAGGAUUGCAUGCAGCGACGUCGUAAAGAUAGGGUGACAAGGAGCGUUCCAGAGCUCAGCUCGGGGCAUGCCCCGGCACUCCCUAGCAUAUAAACAUACCGGGUGGAAUUUGUACCCACCAGGUCUUGCUCGGUGUCCCCUGUGCCCAAGCUGUUGGCUGCAUUGCCCUUGCGAUUCGAGUGUGGAGAGAUUUUAGCAAUGGCCUCCGCUGUGGCUUCAACCGUUGUGGCUCCUGUCUCUGUGACUGUGGCGUCAUCAUCUGUGGCCGCCUCUCGCGAGUCUUCCUCCGUCAAGGCUUUUUCUGGACUGAAGUCAGCGACCCUUUUCACUUCAAAAUCCCAGCAAUUGAGCUCCGUCCAGAACGGCAGCCGCGUGCAAUGCAUGCAAGUGAGUCUCUGUCGUCCCUUAAUCGAACAUAUUCGGGGUCGUACUAGUCGAUUUCCACGAGAUGAGACCUGAUGAUUAGACAUCCGGAAAUUUUAAGAGUUGUACGAUUUUGUGAUUGCGCAGGUGUGGAACCCCAUCGGGCAGCCCAAGUUCGAGACCUUCUCGUACCUGCCCCCGCUGAGCGAUGACCAGAUCGCGAGGCAGGUGGAUUACAUGAUCCAGCAGAACUUGAUUCCCUGCAUCGAGUUCGACACGGUAAGUCGGUGCUCUUCCCGGCGUCCCACGAGUAGACAGUAGUAUUGUCGAAGGCAGAGGCAUUGGUAUGUGGUCGUCCGGAGUGGGUUCCGCGGGCAUCGAGGUCACGGUGCAAAUGUGGUCUGAUGACGCGCUGGGGUGACUUGUCCAGGUCGGAGCCGUGAGCCGCACCAACUUCUCGGGGUCGGGCUCGUCGGGCUACUACGACGGGCGGUACUGGACCAUGUGGAAGUUGCCCAUGUUCGGGUGCACCGACUCUUCGCAGGUGCUGCGGGAGAUCCAGGAGUGCAAGACGUCGUACCCUAGCUGCUGGGUCCGCGUGCUGGGCUUCGACAGCAAGAAGCAGGUGCAGAUCUGCGGGUUCUUGGUCGCCAGGCCCAACUAGGGAACGAAUUUGUCGAGCUCUCUGGUUCUGGGCCGGGUAGCAGUAGCUUUGAUGGUGAGGCACUGACAGUCAGUCGCUCACACGGCAAAGUAGCCUGGAUGUGCUUCGCAACGAACUCUUGUAUUUGAGUAUGUGAGUUCACUUUGAACAUCCCAGAAGCAAAAGAAUGGGUUUUUUCAUGUUUGAAGUUUAUUUUGUAUAGUUGUGUUGAGCCGCGACUUCUAUCUGUCACUUGGCUUGAUAUUCUGAGUUUCUCCGAUACGAAUAGCGAAGUCCACUUGAACAUCUGUAACGGCAGCAAUUGCGUCAGGUCAAUCCUCUCAGAUUCUUUCGGUGCUUUUGUCGUAAACUAGCUUGAUUGUUGCCCAUUAAGCUUGGUUGCUUUUCGUGAGAAAGCAUGAAACUUCUAUGACGAAACCCGGUUGAUUGUAAUGUAACUAGUUUGAUUGUAGUUUGAAUUUGGUAAUUGCGUUGUAUGAUACAUAAUGAAAGUUUCAUGAUGAGGGCUCUUUGUUGGUAGUUAUUUUCAUUUUAAUAGACGAGUAUUUUUGUGAAAGUCACCAAGAGUCCUCGACUUUCUGUAAAACCGCAGUGGUGAAUUGAGAGAAGUAACCAGUACCAGUUAUUACGAGAAGAAGGUUGAGUCUUCGCACUGCAACACAUUACUUUGUGUCUGUCAAUGUCAAUAGUUUUUACAUGGCGAUUGCCAAUAAGUCUGUCGACACAGGUCAUUGUACCACCUGAGCAAGGAAAAGGCACGACGUACUGGUACAGUUCCCUUAUGGAACUUGUCAAUGUGUUCAAACCCAUAAGUUGCUGAAAGUGUACAGUCAGGUGAUUUGCACACUUUUCAGAGGUAGACCGAACAAAAUAAAACUUAUGGAAUGACAUACUUGAAAAGCUUUUUCUGAAAAUCUGUCAAAUAACAAAUGUUUGAUAUUCUUAAUAUUCGGAAUGUCAAGUCACACAUAUUUGUUACUGAUUCCUGCACAAGGAUUAACAAUCACAGCAUAAGCAAACAUGUAUUUUAAAUCAAAUGACUUUAUAAUAUAAAUCGAAUCGAUUAGAUAAGCAUGAUUUUAAGAGUUAUACUCACCUAGAGAAAUUUCUUACAUCAGAAGAUAAAAGAGAUAAUGUGCCCAGGAAGGCAUGAGACAUGAAGUAAUAGAAACACAUAUUCCACUGUGAAAUGUGAAAGGGAGUGGCUGAAUGAAAGAAAAUAGAAGAAAAGAAAAAGGAAAAAAAGAUACCAGAAAUCUUUUUCAAAAUUACCAAAAAUGUAUUAGAAAGGUAUUUUGAAAGGAAAAAUUUACUUACAAAAUAGAAGUCCAACAUCUUUUAAAUGUAAUAAAAUCACCCCUUGUAAAAUAAUAAUACAAUACAAUAGAUUUUCAAAGCUUUCUUAUUUGUUUAGUAACAGAUUUGAACCUUUCUUAGUGUAGCUACUUCUAUGUUUUAAUUUAGUAGAAAUAUUAGACUUCUUUGUUAUUACUAGAUUGGAAGUAGAAAAAGUACAAAUUAACAUGUAUUAUAAAAUAUUAAUUUCCAAUCUCCCCCAAACAAAUUAAGAAUAUUAUAAAGCAAUAAAAAUUCAAACAACAUCAAUUUAAAACCAAAAAAAACAUUAAAAAGCCAUCUUAUAGAGUAUUAUGUGACUUACAAUAAAUGCACUAAUGAUAACAUUAAUCAUUUAGCCCAACUAUGUCAAAAGGUAUUAUGACAACAUUCAAUUAAGGAAGGUGUUUUUUUAAUGGAUUUACAUAUCACAUAAAAAUAACUUCGAUAAAAUAUUUUGAUUUGUAAAUUAUUAAACUUAGUUUGAUUGCUAAAAAAACACUCCAACUCUUUACGUCCAUUAAGUAUAAAAAAGAAUACAAUACAAAAUAUCUUACUUAUAUUUAAACAAAACACCAAUACAUCUAAUAACUGUUGUUAAGUUAUUUAAUAAAUUAUUAUCAAAUCCCUACCUCAAGGAUAAAAAUUCCUUAAGAGAUCUUUUAAUAUCAUAAAUAAUAUUAUUUAAUACAUAAUUGUAAUUUGUAGAAACAAUGAUAUUUAUGCACCUUCAAUACUAUUAGACAUCAAUACAAAGUUAGUGGUGCAAUCUUUGACCACUUUUGUACAUGUUCACUAAGCACUAUUUAACUUGAGCUUGAAAAAGAAGGAUAUGUUACUUUGAUUCUUUUCUUUUAACUUGUAAAGAUGGUUCUUGUAAAUCUUGCAACUAUAGAAGUGACUAUUCACAGGCUUAGGUAUGCAUCAAUCAUUGCAACUCCAACUCAAGCUCCAAUAGCAAGAAAUUGUCUUUGUGUAUCAUGCUUUUAUUUUCUAUCAUAACCUAUAAAAAACUAUUCAUUUUUUUAAAUAUUUUUGUAGGAAAAAAAUACAACUCAAUAACAUAUAAAACAAAAAGAAUAAUAGCAAAAUAUCAAAGCAAAAACGUUGCAAUGUAUUAAUAUUUGAUUACAACAUAGUCCAAUAGCAAAGAUAUUAUUGCAUAGCAACAACAUAUUUUAGCAAUACAUUACAACAACAAAAGCAUUUGAAUGCAACAUCAUAAUAUUCCAACAAUCCAUCACAAAGAUAAUAUCCUUGCAUUGUAGUAAUAUCUCAUCAUAGCAAUACAUUGAAGCAAUAAAGCAUUGUAGCACAAUAGCAACAUAGCACAAUAACAAAAACAUUGUAGUACAACAAUACUUUAUUGCAAUAAUAUAAAUAUUUUAAUACAAUAAUAAUUUAUUACAAUAAUACUUUAUUGCAAUAGUAUAAAUAUUAUAGUAUAGUAAUAAUUUAUUACUAAAAUACCUUAUUGAUAAAACCACUCUCAAAUGUCUUGUUUGUUAAAUGAAAGAACAACUUGUCUUCUAAGUAUUCAAUAGCUGCCUACAAGAAUAAUCCAAUUUUUUUUGUUUCCAAGAGCUGCCUCUCUUGUAUUGGCAAUUGUCCAAAUUUAGUCUCAAAUUCCAUGAUUAGUUCAUUUGGAGCCAUUUGAUUUCUUGGCCUUUAUUCAAUCUACUCCAAAAAGAUUUUUUUUUUCAUUCUUUUGAAAUCUUCCUCAAAAAAUUCAUCUUUCAAGAGUUCUUCAAAUUUCUUCCCUCACAUAGCCUUAGUAUGCAACUCCUGCAUCUUUUUUCUAAUUUUUGGUAUCAUUGCCAAAUCAAAGAUGGUAAUCAUCUUCAAUUCUAAAACUUGAUGCACAUAUGCACAUAUAUGUGUAAAUCCUUAGGAACUUAGUGAUGUCACUCUCAUCAAACCUUCCAAUCUUAUCCAUCACUACUUGUAAAGCUUAGGUGGUGUUUCUAUCCUUUCAAUGCACUUAUUGCCUCUCUUUUAUAAAUUGAGCAAAUACCUUGAAUAAAUCAUAGGCACCUAUUCUACUUCGUAAAGAAAACCUUGGGAUUUGAUUUUCCAUCUUGACUUGUUGAAAAAUUUGGUGCCUUGAGGCUCUUUCAAUGGAAGCACCAAUAAAGUUUGGGUAGAGAGAAUUUGUGUCAAAAAAGCGUUGGGCUUUUGGCUAUCACUAAUUACUCAAUCAAGUCUUGAGAUAAAAAAACAUCAAGUUAUCUUUCUAUAUAUAUAUAUAUAUAUAUAUAUAUAAAAGUAUUCCUAUAGAGGUAAUAACAUCAAUACAUAAGUUCUAAGUACUAAAGAACAUCCAAAAUAUGAUAAAAAUAUUCUAAAUCCUUAUAUAUUCAUGAGGUGAAUUUUAUCAAAACUUCAAUAGAUCAUAUCUCAUAAUCGGAGUAUCCAAACAAACUAAAAAUUUACAUGAAGUAUUGAUGUAUUUUAAAAAAAUACUACAACAAAUUUUAAUUGCAAAUUUCUUAAAAAUCUUGAGAUAUUGCUUAAAUACUAACAAUAGCUUUAUAGCCUUGCUUGAAUAUAUCCAUAUGUAAUUUUUUUUAUAUCUCACAAACUAAAUAUUCAAAUAUCAUAAAAUAAUUUAUUUAUAAUUUUUCAACCUAAUAACACAUAUCUUUAGAAAUUUUGAGCCAAAACUUUGUUCAAAAACUCAAGGUGUAGUUCCAACUAUUAAUAUCAAUAAAAUGAUUCACGUUCUGCCUUUGAAUUACAUGUAUUGUCUUCAAUGCUUUAUAACUCCUUUAUACAAACUCCAAAUAUAACAAUUCUUUUGUAAAGACAUAAAUUUUGAAAUCAGCCUUGUGAUUGCACUCUUGAUCUUCAAAAUCUAUUAUAUAACUCCUUGUAUUUUUAAAAGAACAACAAUAUGUCUAAAAAAGACACAUUAACUUCAAAUGGCUACAACUUCAUCACCUUAAUUCCAAACCUUCUAAACUUUAUGCAAUCCUUGCUUCUAAUUCUCAAAUGUUCUUUUUGAAGUUGCCAAAAUCCUUAUUAUGGUUGCAGAUAGCCUCUUGAGAGCCUAUAGGGCAUGGCUUUCAAUCAAUAGAGAUGAAGAUCCUCAUUCCUUAUCUUCAUCCAUCCAUACUUUGCUUUCAUCCUUCCAAAUAAGCUUCUUAGAGGUUUGUAUCUUCAUCUUUGAGUUCCAAUCUUUUCUUUAAAUUUUGUAUUAAAUAUUUAAAUCUUAUAUAAUUUAGAUACUACAAUCAAAAUAAGUAAACCUCAAAAUAAAUUUUCUUUCAUCAACUCUCUUUAAAUUAACCUAUUAAUCACUCUAAUACACAUCAAUACUUAUAAAUAUAUCAUGUGUUUUAGUCAAUUUUUACAUACUAUGAAUAAUUACAAUACAACAACAUUGAGGCCUACUUAUGCAAUUUUCGAAUAAAAAUUUAAAAAGUCGAUUGUCAUUCUUUAAAGCAAAAUCAAUUACUUGACUCAAUGUUUGAGGAUUAAGUAAAUUGACCAUCAAUUUCUUUACCUCAUAUUAUAAUCCAUAAAGAAAUUGGCUAAUGAGUGUAGUAUCAUUCCACUUGAUAUCAAUCACAAGUUGUCAAAAUUGUGAAAUAUACAAUAUUAUAGAUUGAUUAACUCCCUCAAAUAUACUAGAAUUUGUACCAUUGCACUAUUCAUUUUGACAAGCUCUAUUAUAAUAACACUUAGAAGAAAAGAGAUGUCUAAUAUUGCUAAAGUUAAGUAAAAGAAAGAACUUGAGAACAAAAAGAAUAAUAUCAAAUUUAAAAGAGGAUAAUCCACAACAUCUAAUAUGCUUAUGUCUUAUCAAGAAAAAAAGAUAAUCCAUUCUUAAUCAAGAAAAGACAAAGCUUUGAUAUUGUAAGUGUAUUCUUGUCAAUCUCUCAAAGAUAAGAACUCAAAGAAAACAAAUAUACAAGUGAGACUUUUUCAAAGAAGUAUAACAAAUAUAUAUAUAUAAAAAAAAAUAUGUAUAUUAAAAAGAAACUAGAAUUACUAUUGCCAAAAUACAAGAGAACUAGAGACUUCUUAAAACUAAACUAGAAGCAAGAAAGGAAUUGACAAGAAUGAAGAAGGCUUCAUACUUACCUCUAUAUAUAUUAUCUAUCUAGGAGCUACAUGGCAACAUUCCAUAAGACCUCCAAAACGUGUUGACUUUGCACAACACGUAUCUUGACUUAUAAGGCAAGUUUUUAAUAUGGGUGCCAUAUAGUUAGCUUUUUUCGCAAGCUACCAACAUGUGUGGCACAUGCUUAACUUGCUGACCAAGUAUCUAACCUACCAAUCAACAACAAAUACAUGUAAAGUCAAAGCAACAUCUAUAAAGCUUCUAGGAAGCUUCUUUAAAAGUUAUUAUGAAAUUAAUCUACUUUUAUCUACUUUUACCUAUUCAUAUUACUUGAAUAACAAUUACAAUAAAUAUAUGUCCGUGACAAGUUGACAAUUACAAAAUCAACUAAUAGUGAAAACUAAGUAGAUAGAAUUCUCUACCAUCAUAUUUGUAAAAGUAUACUUAGAAAAAAAAAAAUCAAAUUAUAUUAUAUUAACACCAAUAUACAACCAACAAAAGUUCUUACUAAACCAUUAAAAAGAGUGAAAUUUGAAACAUAUAGAUAAGCCUUGAGACUUAAAAGCCUAAUUACAUUGUGCAAUAGAAUAAGAAUGGUUGUCAUUUCUUACUUCUUUGCUUAGUAACCAUGUGGUGAUAACAAAGACCAUCUUACAUAUAUGGAGGUUGGCUAACCUUUAUUUAAAAAUAAUUGGUCAAAUGAUUGCUACUUUUUUCAUUUAACCAACUUAAAUAAAUUUAUCCAUAUCUCUAAUUUCUUCACCAAACUACUAUUGAAAAUGUAGCUAAUGAAUUAGAUAUUUUCGAAACAUAUAUAAAAUCUUAUAGAUGUAAUAAACUUUGGAGUAAAAAUUUUAUUCUUUUAAAUCGAUGUUUAAUAAUUUGAUAUUCAUAGUAACAUGAUUUAGUAGUAACACCUUUUAAUCCAUGUCCAAUACAAGUCCUUAAACAUUUACAUUAAAACUAUACUUACAAGAUGACAUUAUUAAACUAAAAAAAUAUGCAUGUAAGAUAAUUCCAAUUAGAAUCUAUAAAUUUCUUAUUAUAAUUUUUUAAAAACAAAGUACCAAAAUAUUAUUAUUUUAAUAUCCUCUAAGUUAAAUCCAUAUAUUAAGUAGAAACAAUUAUUCUAAUAAAUAAUGAUAAAAAUUAGACAUCUUGCAAUAAAAUUUCUUUUUAAAAAUAGAUACAUAACAUGAAAAAUAUCCCAUAAAUAGCUAACACCAUCAAAACAUUUGACCAAAUAUGCACUUUUAGAUGUGUCAAGACAAAAAGAAAUAUUUGCAAGAUUUUGGAGUAUCUAAACUAAUGUUUGUCCUCUUUGCACUAUGAGUAGGAUUUCUUUUAUUUUGUUUAGUGAAAAGAUACAUUGCAAUUUGUUUUCAUAAUAAAAACUAUACUAAUGAAAUAGUGCUAAAAAAUAACAAGAUUAAAAAAACAUAACCCUUCUUACAACCUUAAAUCCUUCUAAUUAGACUACCUCAAAGUUGUGCCAUUUAGCACAAAAACCAUUCUUUUAAAUCUACUUAACCCUCCAAUUUCCAAUGAGCUUCAUGUGCAUACACAAGCAUGCUUUCUUUCUUUCUUUCUUGAAGAAAACUUAUCUGAACAAACGUUAAUACUCUACUUGUUGAUGAAAGUGGAACUUUGACCACAUACAGGCUUGGUGAUGUACUUUGUAUAUCUCCUCACAGUUAGUCUGGUGCAAUCCAACCAUGCACAUAGAAUAUGAAUGGGGACAUGCUUCCAGCCACUCGGGUGUGCAGAAAACUUGACAAGCGAGAUUCAAGCAACGGCGACUACGACGCCGAUCACGCAAUACAAAGCAUUGUUAGUAUGUGAUAAACCAGAGAAAGAGAUCGAGUAUGUGCACACAAAAACACACAGAUCCACAGGUAUUGUCUACGGCGCCACCACCAUCCGUCAAAGCUACCAUCUCGUCGAGGAAGAAUGGUAUUUCUAAAACUAGCAAUACAACCGCUGAUGGAAACAACCGAAAGCUAUGUCAUUGGAGAGGGCGCACGAGUUCAUGGAAUACACAGUGAGAAGAGAUAAAGAAAUAAAAUAAUAUAAAAUACAAGUGUGCAUCAGCAAGACAUGGCCGAAAUCUAACAACUGUCUGCACAUGCUGUGGUGGGUUGUAUCCACGCGCUGGAGGAAGUAACUUUCCUACAUGCACAGAAAAACAUUUUCAGAUUAGAAAGCUCUUCUGUUCUAGCUAAUCUCUAGUACCAAGCUCAGACGUGUAGCCGACGAAGCCAAUAGCAGCUGGGUAUGCUAGUCACUGAUUCUGAAGCGGCCGGUGUGUCGAUUGCGAUGUAUCUCAGUUCGGCGAAGGCCUGUGUCUGGAACAUGGGAAGAGGGUCUUCUUGCACUCGUCAAUCUCUCACAGCAACUGGGCAGGGUUGUAUCCGAACGUGGAAAACGCAGCAACCGUUGUUGAACCAAAGGAUGGUAUUUUUCUCCGAGAAAAACGCCGUGGCUUAUCUGGUGUAGACGAUCCCUAAUCCGGACAUGACCGCCGCUGUGCAGGUGUUGGGGAACCACAAUGCGCAAGAGAUGCGAGAGAUGGAGGAGUGCAAGAAGUACGACUGCGAAGCUACAUGCUUCAUCGAGCAAUGAAGUCUGGGUUUUCUCCAACUUCCGCAUACACACACUUUUCUCGACGACAUCCGUUUCAAGGUACGCAUCGGGAAACUGACGAUUCUCUGCACUGGUGUUCAGACUCUCCGGACAACCGGCGUCAUGUUUUGAGCUCUUAUUCGAUAAGGUGCUGUUGAAGUCCAGAAUAAUGGGGUCUGGAUUAUCCUCUGGACGGCUCCGCUUCUGGUCGAAAAAAUUUCAUCCCAAAAAAGGACUUAUCUGUUGACUGAAAAUGUUUAAUUGUGGUGAGGAUUGCAUGCAGCGACGUCGUAAAGAUAGGGUGACAAGGAGCGUUCCAGAGCUCAGCUCGGGGCAUGCCCCGGCACUCCCUAGCAUAUAAACAUACCGGGUGGAAUUUGUACCCACCAGGUCUUGCUCGGUGUCCCCUGUGCCCAAGCUGUUGGCUGCAUUGCCCUUGCGAUUCGAGUGUGGAGAGAUUUUAGCAAUGGCCUCCGCUGUGGCUUCAACCGUUGUGGCUCCUGUCUCUGUGACUGUGGCGUCAUCAUCUGUGGCCGCCUCUCGCGAGUCUUCCUCCGUCAAGGCUUUUUCUGGACUGAAGUCAGCGACCCUUUUCACUUCAAAAUCCCAGCAAUUGAGCUCCGUCCAGAACGGCAGCCGCGUGCAAUGCAUGCAAGUGAGUCUCUGUCGUCCCUUAAUCGAACAUAUUCGGGGUCGUACUAGUCGAUUUCCACGAGAUGAGACCUGAUGAUUAGACAUCCGGAAAUUUUAAGAGUUGUACGAUUUUGUGAUUGCGCAGGUGUGGAACCCCAUCGGGCAGCCCAAGUUCGAGACCUUCUCGUACCUGCCCCCGCUGAGCGAUGACCAGAUCGCGAGGCAGGUGGAUUACAUGAUCCAGCAGAACUUGAUUCCCUGCAUCGAGUUCGACACGGUAAGUCGGUGUUCUUCCCGGCGUCCCACGAGUAGACAGUAGUAUUGUCGAAGGCAGAGGCAUUGGUAUGUGGUCGUCCGGAGUGGGUUCCGCGGGCAUCGAGGUCACGGUGCAAAUGUGGUCUGAUGACGCGCUGGGGUGACUUGUCCAGGUCGGAGCCGUGAGCCGCACCAACUUCUCGGGGUCGGGCUCGUCGGGCUACUACGACGGGCGGUACUGGACCAUGUGGAAGUUGCCCAUGUUCGGGUGCACCGACUCUUCGCAGGUGCUGCGGGAGAUCCAGGAGUGCAAGACGUCGUAC
This 70480-nucleotide long non-coding RNA is filed under the name Physcomitrium patens. RNAcentral's name for it is "long non-coding RNA (PPAT_LNC008236)". The record is from RNAcentral. Lineage: Eukaryota; Viridiplantae; Streptophyta; Bryopsida; Funariales; Funariaceae.